UCUGCCUCAAUUUUGUAAAUGGUCGAACCAAGAUGUUUUCCCUAGGGGGCUCUAGCGCAGCUCUUAUCCCCUUCUUUUUUGAAGAGGCAGCACCAGCGCAUGCGCCCAUCGCUGGCUGCUCAUAGCGGCGUACCGCCGUCGACGAUAGCUUAAGCGGAGGGAAGAUGUACGUCACGGCGUCUCUCCCGGCCUCUACUGCCGAAUGGAUUUGGGGGAGCCUGCACAGGUAAAAUCCCUAAUUUUUUCUGCAUCUCACCUGAGUUAAAUUUCUUCCCAGAUUAGAAAUUGUUGGGCAAAAUCUCCAUGCCACAACCACGCUCAGGAUUUAGUAAAGAAGAUAUUUAAAUCUCCAUGCUGCAGGCACUUUUUCAUGGAGCUGAUACAAUAGAUAUUGAGAUUUAAGGACUACUAGUGGAGUGCCCGUGCGUUGCUACGGGUUUAAGAAAAAAUUACCAUCUUAUAAUCUUCAAAAUUAUGUCAAACAUAUUAUAACCUAAUAAAAGGGAGGAUGAAAAAACCAUAUUGCAAUGUUCAAUAUCUUUUAUCAUUGGUCAGCGAGGUAUAAUAAUAAUCGUUCUAUACAUGCAGGAUAGUAAAGAACUCUUAUACAUUUGUUCUUUUACUUCAUUGCAUGAAAUGUAUUCAGUACAUCGACAUAUAUCAUACAUGCUUUGCACCUAUAGUUUUGUUCUACCCACCUAUUCCAUUCUCUGAAAUGGAGACUCGCGCCCUCUCGCGGUCUCUUUCUCGCCCUUCUUCCGCCGUCGACUCUUGGCACGUCUGCGCCAAGCGAGGCCGACAGUUCAUGAAGGGAUGGGGCACCAACCUGGGGCGUGACCUCCGCGAGCGUAAGAAGGCUCUGCUGUCUGCGAUCCAAGCCCUGGACCUGCGCGCCGAUGCUACUGGCCUCUCUCCCGAGGAGUGGCUCUCCCUCUACGACUUGGAAGAUCAGCUCUCUAUCAUCUACACUGAUGAAGAGGCCUACUGGCGUUUGUGUGGUGCUCAGAAAUGGGUCUUGAAGGGCGACGCGAAUACGGCAUAUUUCCAAGCCAUUGCUAAUGGCCGAGGUAGGCGCAACACCAUUCCUCUCCUUUGGGAUGGCUCGACCCUCCUGCAGUCCCCGCGGGACAUUAGGUCCCACGUCGACGGCUUCUAUAGGGCCCUGUUCACAGCCGCUCCUCGGAGCGGCUUAUCUUUGGCCCCUGACUGUUGGUCCGGUCGCCAGCUUGUUUCCGAGCCUGAGAACGUGGCUCUUAUGGCCCCCUUCUCAGAGGGCGAGGUCUGGGCCGCCAUCAAGGGCAUGAACCCUGCCUCGGCCCCUGGCCCGGAUGGCCUUCCAGUCAAGUUCUUCCAAAGCUUCUGGAAUGUGAUCAAGCCGGAAGUCAUGGCCAUCUUCGACGAGUUCUACGUUGGGUCCAUCGAUCUUGGGCGCCUUAACUACGGGACGAUCUCGCUCAUCCCCAAGGUUCCUGGUGCUUCUGACAUCCGUCAGUUCCGCCCAAUCACGGUGAUUAACGUGAUCUUCCGGAUUCUGGCGGAAGGGUACGCCAAUAGGGUGACCCUGCUCGCGGACCAGAUUACUCACCCCAACCAAUCGGCUUUCAUCCAAGGCCGUUAUAUUCUGGAUGGGGUGCUGGUCCUUCACGAAGUCCUCCAUGAGGUCUGCUCCAAACACCUCAAGGCGGUCUUCCUGAAGAUCGAUUUCCAUAAGGCCUAUGACACUGUUAGCUGGCCCUUCCUUCGGGAAGUUCUCCUGCAGAAAGGCUUCGAUGACCGUUGGGUACCGCGGGUUAUGCAGAUGGUCUCGUGUGGUCGCACCGCCGUCAACAUCAAUGGGGAGAUCGGCCCCUACUUCCCCACUUUCUGCGGGGUGAGGCAGGGUGAUCCAUUCUCCCCGUUCCUGUUUAGUAUGGUGGUCGAUGCUCUUGCGGCCAUUCUGGACAAGGCUACGGCCGCGGGCCAUAUUAGUGGGAUCACCGCCCACUUGACUGGGGGCGUUGGCAUCUCCCUGCUCCAGUACGCUGACGACACCAUCAUCAUGGUCGAAGGCUCAGAUACGGACAUCGCUAGCCUUAAAUUCCUCCUCGUCUGCUUCCAACAAAUGUCUGGUCUUAAGAUCAACUUCGACAAGAGCGAUGUGAUGGUGAUGGGCUAUUCCCCGGCUGAGGCCCUUGACAUUGCCAACCGCCUCAAUUGCCGCCUGGGUUCCUUCCCAACGACCUACCUGGGAACGCGCAUUAGUGACUCUCGGCUCACUGUGGCGGACCUUCGUCCUGCGGUGACCAAGUUGCAAACGCGCAUUGAGCCUUGGCAAGGUCGGUGGCUCUCGAAGGCGGCCCGGACGAUUCUCAUCAACUCCUCGCUCUCUAGUCUCCUCUUAUUCCUUAUGAGCUUCUACAGCCUCCACGAGACCCUCCAUCACGAGAUCGCUAAAAUCCAAUCGCGCUUCUAUUGGGCUGGGGACAAUAACAAGCAGAACUAUCAUAUGGUUAGUUGGCCCGACAUCUGCAAGCCCCGGGAGCAGGGAGGCCUUGGCAUCAUGUGCUCGAAGCGCAUGAACAUUGCCCUCCUCUCCCGCUGGCUCUGGCGCAUCUCACAAGGGCAUGGCGGUCUGUGGUUAGACAUCAUCCGGAAUAAAUACUUGCGUGGCCAACCUCUGGCCUUCUGCCAACGUUCGGGUGGAUCCCAGUUCUAGCAGCCGGUCAUCCAACUGCUCCCCGUCCUCCGCAUUGGGACUUCCAUCUCGGUCGGAUCGGGAGCAGCGAUCUUGUUCUGGUUUGACCGAUGGGCGGGUGACGCUCCAUUCGCGGCCCGCUUCCCCGACCUCUUCUCCAUCGCUAUAGUCCCUACAAUCUCAGUUCAACAGGCCCUUAUUGACUUAGGGCUCCUCGCGUUCCGGAGGCCAUUUGGGCCCCCGAAAGUGGCCGCCUGGCAUGAGCUUCUUGAUUGUAUUGCUCUCCAUGAGCCGGCUAUCGAUGCUGGCCCGGAUGAGGUUCGGUUGCGCCUUGAGCCUUCGGGUCAAUUCUCCACCAAAUCCCUUUACGCGGCUAUCGCCCCAUCCUCCGCCCCGCCGCCCCUCCAGGAGGUAUGGUCCAUUCGCCUGCCCCUUAAAAUUCGGAUCUUCAUGUGGCAAUGGAUCCGCGGCCGGCUGCCGUCUGGAGUUGAGGUCCGCAAGCGCAAUGGCCCGGGCUCUGGCCUCUGCCCUCUAUGUGAUACCCCCGAAGACUCGAACCACAUAUUCUUCUCCUGCGUGUCUGCUCAGUUCGUGUGGAGCUGCUUUAGAGAGGCGGUUGGUGGGGAUUGGUGCCACUCCAACUUCCCUGACCUCUUCACCGAGCUACAGGCCGCCCCGCUGUCCUCUCGCCACAUUAGGUGGCUUGAGAUUGGGGCCCUCGCGUGGACGCUCUGGACUAUUCGCAAUAAGCUUGUGAUUCAACGCUCCCCUCUUCGACGAUCUACUGACGCUCUCUUCAAACUGUCUGGUUACUUGCAGCUCUGGCGGCCGCUUAGCCGCCCUCGGGACCGGGAUGCCAUCUCCGCCUUCAUCGCCGACCUCCGCUUGAUGGCCGUCCGCCUGUCGCCGCCACCACCGCCGCCUCCGCCCGAGCCUGGUUAGUCGUCUGUUUGCUCUCCGGCCUUGGCCCCGGCUGAGCCUGUCUCUUAUUUCGUGUGUGUUUUGGGCUUGUUGAGCUGUGCCCUCAGCAGUACCUCUGGAUUUAUUGUUGUGCGACUUGGGUGUGUGUGUUCUGAACUAGUCCUUGUAUGUGCUCUUGGUGGUUUGGUUUAUUUAUAAAGCGGGGCGAAAGCCUUUUUCGGUAUUCCAUUCUCUGAAGAAUGGUAUAUGGAUAUAUAGACUCCAUUGGAGAGAAUACACUAUGGAAUCCCCGUGUCAAUGUUAAAUAAUCAUGUAAAAAAGAAAGAGAAUAAAAGUAAAAGUGAGUCUAAUGAUCAAGUAGUAUUAUGGCAACUACCUCGCUGAUCAGGUAGAAACUUUUCAGACAGCUUAUCCUUGAAGGUAUCCAAGUCGUGCAUCAAGCAUUACUCUAUUGCCUUAUAGGUUGAAGUAAAGAAAUUAUAAGCAACAGUACUAACAACCAACAGUGGCGAGCCUCUUGCUCUUGCAAGAAUGUUUAUUGAACAAAGGAUCCUAACCUCCCUAGAAAAACUAACUAAGGCUCAUUCCCUUUGCUUGAGGCAUCAUAUUACGAACGACAUCAGAGUAGGUCAAUAACUGAAACUUAGAAGAAACGGUGAUACACAUGUUAACUAAUAGAGUGACAUUUGUCAGUUGUGAUUGAACUUAAGUAAUUCACAUAAGAGGAUUCAACUAAGAAGGAAGGAAGGAGCAAGUCAUAUCAAGUACUCCCUCCGUCCCAUAUUAAUAGUCGCUCAAACAGAUGUAACUAGCACUAAAAUACGUCUAGAUACAUCUUCGCAAUCAUACUUAAGACAUUGAUGUAUUCCUUCAUGGACACCGACUUAGUGUAUUUCAUUUUUUUCAAUCGAGAAGUUCUUCACUCGCCUUGACUGCCCCCUUGAAUGUGUAGACCGUUGAAUAGGUAGAUUGCCAUUGUAAACUUCGGCAGAUGCUGACCCAACGGUACAAGUAAUUGGCAAUGGUCAUGUGCAUGUAUGAUGAUCAAUAUUACAAGCAUGAAAUGACAAAGAAAACAACGAAGAAUAAAUAAAUAUUGUCAACCCAAACGACAUGUGGUUUUUCCAUUGGAACUUUUGCAUUACCAGAUUUGCUCAAUCGAAUGCUGCCCCAGGACGUGGUGUCGUUCAGGACAUGGUGUCUGCAUGGUUUGAGGCCGUGGCGUCUUAUCCAUGAAGUUCAAGGCCGUGGCGUCGUACGUAAGGUCCAGGCCGUCCCGGGCUCCCGACUGCUGUGCCUCGUAGUGCUGGAACAACGUGGCGUCUGGGUGGGGGCAUACUCUAGGGACCCAUGUCGAUACUUGGAAGCACGGAGAAACAGGCCUCGCCGGCCCCGCUUUCAAGAAGCGAUUUGAAAAGGAGGACAACAAGGAAUGUGUUGUGUAUACAGAAAGAUAGAUCGUUGUUGUAUAUAAUUGCGAUUUGAUUGAUGUUUAAUAUGCAUGGGAAGAGCGGAAAGAUAGGUAUUUUGUAGAGUAUAUGGAAAGUGUUGUUGUGUAUGAUUGUUGGAGGAUAUGAUUUCUUUUGUAUAUGGAAGGUUUGGUUUUUUUUUGGCAUGGGAGGUGUGAGAUGGAAAGAAAAUCGGUGUUGGAGAUGAAAACUGGGCGUGGUGGUCGAUGAAAGAAAAAUCGAUGGGAUGGACAUGGAGGCAGUUUUGUCGAUGGAUGGGGAGGGGUGGAGACGAACGAACAAAAUGACCUACUUAUUGCCCCUUUAGGAGUAGAGAUAUAGCUACAUGUAUAACCAUACAUCUCGUAAUUUGCACCUGGGUAUAAACCAAGGAAUUUCUCAUGUCAAAGAAAAGUGGACAUCUUCUUAACAUAAAGAGAAUGUAUUUUCAAGUAUCAUCUAUCCCAAUCACCAUCGGAGGCUCAACAAGACUUCUCGAAGCAUCAACGGAACUGACUUGGUCCUAUCCUCGAAAGAGGAUCCAGUGUUAGCAUUGAGUUGGCUAAGAAAAUCUACAAACUCACUUGUCAAUUUACCACCAAAGGGGGGAGAAGUCCCAUAUUUUUCAUGAAGAGGCAGUGCGGCCGUUUUCCUUGGUAAAAGGAAUGGCGAGCGGCCGUUGUCGGCAUCUGGGGCAACAUUUAGUGCGUAUGCGGCUCAGGUGGAAGAUGAAUGCCCCUAACGCAACGUUGCCAUUGCGCGGAGUGGUAAAUUCCCCUCUCCUCCACACCCUUCCCUUCCUCCCUUUUGUCCGUGGCCAUGGCAUGUUGCUCAGCCUCCAGAAAACUUGGUUGCGCAGGUGCAGGCUAUAGCGACAAAGCGCGAGUCUUGGGCACUUUUUGACUCGGGACCCACCGAUUCGCCACAUCUUAUAGUGAUGCUGCUCCACUCUGAUGGCGACGGCAGCGACUUCACUGUUUCUUUUUUUUGAAAUGGAGGUAUAUCCCCGGCCUCUGCAUCAUGAUGAUGCAUGCGGCCUUUUUAUUAAAAAUCUAGAAAGUAUUAUCACAAAGGUCUUACAGCUCGCAAACGAAGCAAAACAAAGCACAUAAAACUAAAAAUACAAUCGGACAAAGACAACCGGUACGGUGAUAAUAAGGACUUUUCAGCUCUCUAGACUCCUAUCCUGUUAUGCGAACGCCAUCCGAACCGGUUGAAUAUAGCCCAAGCCACCAUCUCCCACUGGUUGCACCCAGUAACCAAAGGCUCCCUAGAGUUCAUAGGAGUGAGUAAGGACCACGUACGGAUCCAAGCUGUAGCUCUGAAGAUAACCUGCAAAAAAGUUAAGUGGUGUUGUCUGGUAAAAAUCAUAUCAUUUCUGCAGUUCCAUAUAGCCCAUAAUAACGCACAUAUUCCAAUCCGAAUACGAGCUGCCGUGAUAUGUUCAACCCCAGCUAACCACGUCCCAAACAAAGACGCAAUAUCUACUGGGGGAUUGAUAUUAAAAGCUAUAUGAAUCGUUCCCCAAAAUAACUUGGCAAGUGGGAAUUCGAUAAAUAAAUGUUGUAUUGUCUCAUCUUGAGCACAAAAACAACACCGCGAGUUACCUACCCAUCGCCUCUUAAGUAAGUUGUCAUUUGUGAGUAUUACUUGCUUGUGGACAAACCACAUGAAAAUUUUAAUCCGCAAAGGAACCUUAACCAUCCAUAUAUGAAGUGACCUUGAGAUGGGGCCAGAAUUAAUCAGAUCCGUAUAAAAUGAUUUCACCGUAAAUAUCCCAUUUUUAGUUAACUUCCAUUGUGUGGAGUCCGGCACGUCGGAGGGUCGAACUUCAAUCAAUCUCCGAACCAAGUGCAUCCAGGUUGUCCAUCUCUCACCCACUAACGUACGUCUGAACUGGAUGUUCAAGGGAAUAGUUUGAAGGACGAUACCUACGUAAUCUUCCUUACGUUGCACAAUAUUGUAAAGGGUAGGAUAUUGUAAGGCCAGAGGUGUCUCUCCUAGCCACGUAUCCUCCCAAAAUCUUGUUGACAUCCCGUUGCCAAUCAAGAAUUUGACCCUACGAAAGAACUUAUCCUUCGUUCUCAUAAGUCCCUUCCAGAACGGUGAAUCAGUCGGUCUGAUGGUAACCUGGGCUAGCGUUUUCGAGUGCAAAUACUUAUUGCGCAGGAUUUGAGACCACAUGCCCUCCGGCUCUGUCUCUAACCUGUACAACCAUUUGCUCAUAAGGCAUUUAUUCUUAAUCUCCAAGUUCUCAAUACCAAGGCCCCCUUGGUCUUUAGGUCGACAAAGGAUAUCCCAUCGCGCGAGAUGGCAUUUCCUCUUGGCCUCAUCAGACUGCCAAAAGAAACGAGAUCUAAAGAAAUCAAGUCGCUUUCGGACCCUUUUCGGAAUUUCGAAGAACGAAAGUAAAAAACAUUGGCAUGCUAGUCAAUACUGAGUUAAUCAAAACUAGUCGACCUCCAUAUGACAUCAGCUUGCCCUUCCAGCAGCUGAGUUUUUUUUCAAUUCGUUCUUCAAUACAUUUCCAUUCCUUAUUGGAUAGUUUACGAUGAUGAAUCGGAAUACCCAAGUAACUGAAUGGUAAAGCACCUAAUUCGCAUCCAAACAAUUGUCUGUAAGUAUGUUCCUCGUCUUUGGCCUUCCCAAAACAGAACACCUCGCUCUUAUGAAAAUUGAUUUUUAAUCCAGACAAUUGUUCGAAUAGACAUAAGAUAAGUUUCAUGUUACGUGCCUUAGCCAUGUCAUGUUCCAUGAAAAGGAUAGUGUCAUCAGCAUAUUGUAGAAUGGACACCCCUCCAUCAACCAGAUGAGGAACUAGACCCUCUACAUGGCCAUGUUGCUUGGCCCUGCCAAUAAUUACGGCCAACAUAUCUGCCACAAUAUUGAACAGAAGAGGUGACAUGGAAUCCCCUUGUCUCAACUCCUUAUGCGUCUGGAAGUAGUGACCGAUGUCAUCGUUCACCUUAAUUCCGCCACUACCUUUCUGGACUUGAGUAUCCACCUGGUGCCUCCAGGUUUCACUAAAACCCUUCAUACGCAUUGCCAGCUGAAGAAAAGGCCAUUUUACUUUAUCAUAAGCCUUCUCGAAAUCCACUUUUAAGAUAACCCCGUCUAGUUUCUUCGAGUGAAUCUCAUGAAGUGUUUCAUGUAAGACAACCACUCCUUCGAGUAUGUGUCGUCCAGGCAUGAAAGCUGUCUGACUAGGUUGAACCACUGAGUGAGCAAUUUGUGUCAAUCUAUUGGUUCCUACCUUUGUGAACAUUUUAAAACUCACAUUCAGCAGGCAAAUGGGUCGAAAUUGUUCUAUCCGGACCGCCUCAUUCUUCUUCGGUAAUAACGUUAUCGUACCAAAGUUGAGGUGAAACAACUCCAAAUGGCCAUCGAAAAAAUCGUGAAACAUAGGCAUAAGAUCAUCUUUAAUGAUAUGCCAACAUUUCUUAUAGAAUUCAGCUGGAAACCCAUCUGGUCCCGGUGCUUUAUUCGGCUUCAUUUGAGUUAUGGCCAGAUGAACUUCUUUUUCAGUAAAUGGUGCCGAGAGAACAUCAUUCUCCGCUGCCUGUAAUUGAGGUAUAUCAUCAAUCACAAACUCAUCAAGAGACACCGUGGAAGUAUUCUGAGGUCCAAAAAGGCUUUUAUAAUAGUUGGAAAUAUACGCUUUCAGAUUUUCAUGCCCCACUAUUGUUCCCUCGUCCUAUUCAAGCUGUAUGAUCUUCUUCUUCCUAUGUUUACCAUUUGCAACCAUAUGGAAGAACUGUGUGUUGUCGUCCCCUUGGACAACCUUAAGCGUUUUCGCACACAACACCCACUUGAGUUCCUCCUCUCUCAAGAGAGCACGUAGGCCUUGCUCAGCCUCGGACUUGGUUCGAUGCUCAUUAACAGAAAGAAGAGUGGUUUCAGCCUUUACAUCUAGUGCCUCAAUGAGUUGAGUUAGACGUUCUUUUCUUUGCUUAUAAAUCCCACUCUCAUUCCUGGCCCAACCUCUUAGAAAUUGUCGGAGGUGUCUAAUCUUAUUCUGCCAUCUCUCGACAUGUGUCCUGCCCGUAACUGGCUUAGCCCAUUCGCGUGCAAUCAUCUCCAUAAAUCCUUCUCGCUCAAACCAGCUUUGCUCGAAGGAGAAGAUGUUUUUGUUUGCAACAUGGGUAGCCUCUCCCGAAUCUAAAAAGAGUGGUGUAUGAUCCGAGAUCGCUCUUUGCAUCGCAUGAACCGACACCAACGGAUAUUUUUGUUCCCACUCCACACUAGCAAGUACCCUAUCCAACUUUUCAUAAGUCGGAACAGGUAGCGAGUUGGCCCAUGUAAACUGUCUACCGGUGAGCUCAAUUUCUCUCAAAUUGAGGCUCUCGAUAAUCAUGUUAAACAUCAUAGACCAACGUCCAUCGAAAUUGUCAUUAUUNNNNNNNNNNNNNNNNNNNNNNNNNNNNNNNNNNNNNNNNNNNNNNNNNNNNNNNNNNNNNNNNNNNNNNNNNNNNNNNNNNNNNNNNNNNNNNNNNNNNNNNNNNNNNNNNNNNNNNNNNNNNNNNNNNNNNNNNNNNNNNNNNNNNNNNNNNNNNNNNNNNNNNNNNNNNNNNNNNNNNNNNNNNNNNNNNNNNNNNNNNNNNNNNNNNNNNNNNNNNNNNNNNNNNNNNNNNNNNNNNNNNNNNNNNNNNNNNNNNNNNNNNNNNNNNNNNNNNNNNNNNNNNNNNNNNNNNNNNNNNNNNNNNNNNNNNNNNNNNNNNNNNNNNNNNNNAGUGGCAGAUUUUCAUCUCCACAAAUCCGCACUAAAUCGGCAAGAAAAUUGGGUUUAAAUUCAGGUUGCGCUGCCCCAUAUACUGCAACUAGCGACCAUCGGAACCCAUCCAAUUUUGAUCUCACCCUGAAUUUAACCGAAAAGUCUCCCAGCACCACAUUAAGCACCUCUAACGUCUCACACCAUACUCCUAGUAAAAUCCCGCUGGAUCUUCCUCUAGGAGGUAAAAUGUGCCAGUCAAAAUCGAUACCACUGGAAAGGGUUUGGAGGAAUUGGGAUGUGAAAUUAUCUCGUCCAGUUUCCAAAAGUGCAAUGAAAUCUAAGUGAUGCUCUAAAGUUGUCUCUGCUAAGAAUCUUUGUUUAGCCAAGUCUGCUAGACCUCUGCUAUUCCAAUUCUAAGACAAUAAUAUCUUUGUUUCAUGAGCAACUAAAUUCCAAGACAUUUAGGAGCUCUGCUCGACCUUUGUAAGAAAUGUACCACAAUAUUUGCUAUAAUGAUAUUACUACAUCUAUGUUUUUCAGAAGUACAAUCAAAAUCAAAAUUAACAAACCACAUCAUGGUCACUAUACAAUCAAUGCUCUUGUAAGGUUGCAGGUUCAGUUAAGCCACUACUUAACUCGAACUGAAACAAUCAUGUUUGCCUUUCCUCUUUGAAGUACCAAAUUUGCAGCCUCUAUUUUACGCAUUGGUUGUUGAUGCAGUAGCAGCAGCACCACCAUCACAUUAGAAGAGGUGCGGUGCAUUACUGAACUGAAGUCAAACAGUACAGGACAUACACAUUGGAUGGGUCAGUGCAAAUUCACCUGCCACUAGACAUGCUUCUUUUUAUCUUCCAGACACAGUAGCGGUGGCAAGCACAUACACAUGCACCAACAGUGGCAGCAAAUAUGCACAUGUAUCUAUAGUGAUGUCCCUUUUGGUUUCCUUUAGUCUUCCAGACACAACAGCGGUAGCAAGCGCAUAUGCACGCAUCGACAGAUAACGAAUGUUUCUACUACACAAUAUCUACUGUGACUUGUUGUUGCUCUUUGUCUCCUAUAACAUUGAAAGUUAUUUUUUAAAAUCAAAGCUUAUGCAAGAAAACAAUGUAAAGAUCAUUUCGAAAAUCAAAGGCAUACACUGAAAAUAUAUAUUUAAGAUGAUUCUUCAAACCAGAUAGUAGGAGUGUAUAUCCGAAGGGAAAAUAAAAGAGUUCUACCAUCGACAAUUCAUGCACCUCUAAAAAAUGAAUUCAAAUGUGCAUGCCCUACAUGAUAUUGCACUGAAAAUAUAGGAAGAUGGAGGGCAAGACAGGAGAGCAUUAUCACCCAUUAAUUCAAGGCCACCCUGUGUGUAAUUAAGUUGCUACGUGUCUGCAUAAAUAUUCAUCAUUUAUAAAACUAUAGGAAAGCUAACCUUUGAUUGAAAAAUGUAAAUGCCGCAAUGUGAGCUAGCACGUGCAAUUGUUCAUCUCCUCUCCAUAAGACAUGCAAAUUGGCUGAAGUGAGCAUCAAUUUUCUUCUAGAAAAACUACACUGAAAGCUUCAUGGAAAGCCCAUUUGCAUGAAGCUUUCAGUUUGUGUUGCAUGGUACUUCAGUGUAAGAUAACUAUCGAGCAAUUUUCAUGAAGCUUUCAGUUUGUGUUGCAUGGAUUAGAAAAAAUCCAACAAUAUAUAACUGCAACCAUGCAUAUGCAUGUAACGUAACUGCAACCAUGCAUUCAGAUACUCUCACUGUAGCAACUGGGAUAGAUUAACACCUGAAUGCACAUGUUGUUUCAUUAACCAAAAAUGAUGGAGACGGUGUUGUAGCAAAAUAAAUCAAAUAGGUAAUUAAACAAGAGAAAAUGCUUUUGGAGGCUGCAAAAUUCAAAAUUCAUGAAAAUUCAUCAUUUAAAAAUGUUCUGAAAAACAUACUAUACAUGAAGGCAUAAAGCACAAGUGUGUAAAUUUUUAUGACGAAAUACAUUCAAAUAAGGGUUGUACAAAAAAAUCUAGGGCUUUUAACACAUAAUACUAUUCAUAUUCAUCCUCUCAAACAAUAAAUUUGUCUUUUUUUGUAGACGUCGCAUUUUAACGUAUUUCAUCCUGAAAUUUUACACAUAUACACCUCACAUCCUGUUUACUUGUACAAAAUUUCAGAUUUUUUGGAAACAAAAAAUUUUGAAUUGAUGUAAAAAAUCUGCCUCCUUUGUGGCCAGGAGCCAAAACGCCCCACUCAUUAAACAAUAUGUCGAUGGUCCUUUGAAUAUAUAUAUCCACUUUAUAAAUUUGUUUGCCAAGAUCCAAAAUGCCCUACUCAUUAAAGAAUAUGUCGAAAAUCCUUCGAAUAUAUACCCACUUUAUAAAAAAACUAAUGAUAUGGUAGCGACCAAACAUCGGUCGUUUACACAUUGUUUGCACUGGUUGAAUACUACAUGCAGCAUCUUGUGCUCCCCAGUUCAUCCCCUCCUCCGACUCUUGUGACCCCCUCCAAGGCUAAUCUAUCCUCCACCCCGCACACCGUCACACGUGUCGCCCCACCCCACCCUGCCCACAGAUGUUAGAAAUUUAAUCUCGCAAUCUUAAAUACUAUAUGAAAGUCAACAACUUAAAAUCAAAAUAAUAGGUUGGAUCCUUGCUUAACAAUAAGACUGGUAGCUACCAUUGUUGGGUAAUCUGCAUAUAUUUGUGAUAUAUAUGCAGCAGUCAACACAGACCUACACAAAGGUAAAUUCAUUAUAACCAUUAAAAAAUGAUGUAGAUUGUCUAAUGUGGAAUAGAUCACAUGAUAUGUUCUCUUUUUAUGGAAGUCCGUCGGUGGCCUAAAAGAACUUCAUUAUGACCAUUUCUUGUUUAAAAAAUUGAUAUAUCCGACAUCUAAGAAGAUCAGCACAUAAUACUGUAUGCAUCUGUUUGAGCUAGUGAUGCAGCUCAGCAAGUAGAUUGCAUAUGUCUGCUGCUUUUGUUUCACUUUGCUAAUUUUUUAUGUGCAAAACCAAUUUAUCUGUAUAUCAAAGACCAAUUUUCACUGUAUAUUUUGGAACUUACCACAAAUCGCAGGUCGAAUACGUGGCGCCAUGUCGGGGAAAUGACACCUAUGGAUCACUGGGAUCCCUUCUACGGUUGGCGGGCGCAGGGUUGUGAGAAGAGCAGGUCUAAUAGGAAGCACACAGAUCGUUUACCCAGGUUCGGGCCGCGAGGAUGCGUAACACCCUAGUCCUGCUUUGGUGGAUGUAUUGAGUGUUCUUGUGUUCUUGAGCUAGCUACGAGGGUGUAACUUGCCCAAAAGAGCCGAAUCCUUCUCCUGGUCGCCUCGGGCCUCCUUUUAUAGGCAAAAGGGGUCGUCACAGUGGCACACAGGAAGUGGAAAGGUGUACAGCGCGCGAGCUUAUCGCCCGGCGUUACGAGACAAAGUGCAUUAAAUGCGCUACUUAGGUGUCCAUUAGCUUUAUCAGGGACGGGAACGAGGCCCGUCCCUUCCGUCGCCGCUCCGCCCUGCUUCGACACGCGCCCAGGCCAGCGAUGCAUGCGGUGCCAUGUAGGCAGGCAGGCAGCUUAGGUGGCGCGGUGGCAGGGCAUUCACAAAGAUCUGCAUGCCACCACGCAGGUGCUUGCUGAGUUGGUGUAGAGGCCACUCGUCGCCACGCAGGUGCCUGCCCCGCUGGUUGAGCUAGCUGCUGCUUGGGGAACGGCGGUGGAGUCUUGACUGGUGCGGGCCUGGCAAUGGCCCUGCUGAUGCCCUCGGCAAGGGUCUUGCCGGGGGCUCGACAAGGGUCUUGCCGUGGCGUGGCAGUCGUUCUGGCAAGGCGCUUGCCGGGGGUCUUGUGGAUCUCCUCGGCUAGGAUCCCGCUGAGGGUCGCCGUCUUGUGGUCCUCAUCUGAUCUUGUGUGUUCAUGAUCUUGACGAAGAUCUGUAUGCCACCAAAGAGGCGCCUCCCGAGCCCUGGUUCCAAUGUAGUUGGUUGGCUGGUGUUGGAACCCACGGGCUCUAGGGUGGCCUGCUCUGCUGGCAUCGGGCAAGUUGCCCCGGCAAGGCUCUUGCCGGGGCCGCGGAGAAAUGCUUGUCCUUUCAAUCGUACAAAAAAUUAUUUGGACAAUAAUCUGACCUACUUGUCCUGAAGCAUUGCCACUCGCAUGUUCUGGUGGCUCCGCAGUCACCUCGUCACGCCCAUGAGUACUCAGACCGUCACACCAUUUAGAUUCAUCUUCAGAAAAAAAAACUCUCUUUUAGUAAUGCAGAGCACAUUCCAAUCUAAAAACUAAAUCACGAACUCUGCAUUUUCUGCUAAUCUAAUACUCCCCAUAAUGGUCUCCCCCCAUCCCAACUUCGUGAAUUACUUAAUGACCUGCAUCAACAAAAAUACUGUGUCUACAACUCUUCAUUCAUUAGUUUAGAUUUCACUCUAAACCUGGAACAGUAUGAAUCUGCAUACCUUCUCAUCAUCCCAGGAACCCUCCCUUCCAGCAAUCACCACGGCAUCCAUAUCAUAGAACUGAUGGGUUUGUGAUUGUAUUUAUGACAUUUUUACGCUGAAAAGAACACAAUAAUACAGGUCAUAGUAUAAGAAAAUUACAAUACAUGGAAGCAUGUCAACUUCUGAUACUGUUUCAGUUAAAUUUUACUAAGGUAGAAAUAAAGCUCACAUAGUUAUCCACGAAAUUUUGUAGUUCAAACUGAGCCUUAGCAUCACCGCUUGUAUAGAAAAAGUCGCAUCAACAGUUAUUUUCAUGAAGGAUCUGGUAAUUUUGAAAAAAAGGAGCAUUACCAUCAAAACAUAACAGAGUUGGCUUUAAAUCAGAAAAUGUCCUUUGUGCAAGAACUUCUAGGAAUAAAUCCUAGCAUGCAAGCUUCCACAUAAUGUGCUUAAAGAUUCAGACAAUUUACCGCUAUCAUCAGCAUCGUUAUCCAAUGCAGUUUUCCCAAGUAAGCAAGUUACCAUUUCUUCCAUAGCUUCUGCAAACUCUGUGUACAUUUGAUCACAAUGAAUAAUGAGUGUACUAUUACAUGAGCACAUGCUCUCCAUUAGAAGUGACUUGGGCACCAUUAUUUUGUUAAAAAAACUAUAUCGAAUAAAUGUUAGAGCACACCAUAUACGAUGUUUUCUUACAGGGUCGAUACGACGUUAUAUGCUUAAGUUCCUAAUAUUCAUAACAAGUAGGAAAAACUCCCAGCCAAACGAUGUACACAUGAAAGAAACAACACACUUUUUUGGCAUUUGCUAAAUAACCAGGGGAGUACAUACAAAACAUAAGAUGUGUUGGAGCUUCAAGGUCCAACAGUAUAUAUAUUGCCUUUUGCUUACAUGAUCAAAGGAGAAUGUAGCAUAGGACAACAAUGUAACUGCAUGAGAAAGAACUUAGUACCGUCCCCCGCUCACAAAUUGCAAAUUUCUGAAACUUCUCACAAAUCACAAUAGUUUGCAUGGGAUCUCCAAUGCGUGGGUAACUAAACCACGAGGUUACUAUUCCAAACAUCUCUACCUUCACUUUCUAAUUACAUGCUUGAUCAACUAAGAGAUGAUUUUGAAUUAGCUUGUGCUAUUCCCUUGAGAAUCCUUUUGUGCAAAUGGAAUCAAUCAUCAAUCAUAUCAGAAAGAGAAAAAACAUGAAACGAGAUUAUUUCAAUGGCGAGCAAAGCUUUACUUGGUCCAAGAAGUGGUGAUUGCCGACCUCCUCCCUGAAGUCGAGCACCGCCAUGACGGCGCCUACGGUGAGCAUGUCAGUGCCGGCGUCCCGGAGAAGCGGGCUCUCCUUCCACAUGGACACAACAACACCAGUUACAUCAGAGGCCAACCAAGUGAAUGACCCUGCAGCGCUGCUCUUGACGGUGAGAUCUUCCUGGCACUUCCAAUGAUAGUAACUGAACCAACUAAAUAAAAAUUAAUUACCAUUCCCACUAUUGCCUAAAUCUCAAGUACUAUUCUUGGAGUAUUGCAGGAGUAAGACCGACAUGAUUUAAACGUGUGGGCAUACAGUACGUUGGGUGCCGGAAUUGAUACAGAACUUGCUGGCGGCGUCGAUGAAUCCUAAUGUGAUGAGGAAAUUCAUGGCAAUGCAAGCAGAUCUUGACAUCGCAGCUUCCGCUCCCACUCGUGGCGUAUCAAAUUAGGAUUGAGAGGUCCUGGACGUGGGCGAGGAAGGCCGUCAUCGUAGGGGCACGCAGCUCACGGCGACGAGCUCCAAGACGCGGCCAUGGCGGCACCUGCAGAGAGGAGCGACAUGCAGUUCAGAGGAGAUAGAGAGGUUGGGGAAAAGAAGAGAAGGGAGAGAGGGAGGCACGGCGGCGGGAUCCAGCUGGCUGCUCCCGGCGAGGUCAAGAAAGUGCUCGGGCGAGGUCAGACGGGAACACGCAGUCAGGGUGAGUUGAGUCGUGGGUGGGCAGCCUGUGAGUGAACCGAUCGUGGGGAGGUGAAAAAAACAGACAAGAAAACCAUACGGAAAAAACCCAGCGAAGAUGGUGGUGGGAGGUGGGACGAAAAAAACCAGGACGAAGACUACCAACUGCUCCAUUAAAAAUAGAGAUGAUUCAUUAGAAGUAGAGAUUCAUUAGACUUCGUAUCAACGGAUUGUUCCUCUUCGACACAAUGAUAUUCUUUGGCAUGAGCUAAUCACUUCCGAUUAGCUUUCAGCGACCUGCUGGGAUAAGAUUCUCGCUGGAUCCGCUAAAUAUAUUGCGCCAAGGAGGGCAGGCGGUGGCGCGGUCGCACUGAUACACCAGCACAGGUGAGCGGUCGCGAAUUGAACCAAGUAGCCUUCUGACCUGAGUGAAGCAACGCGGCGCAACAAAUACUAAGGAGCAGAACUUGGGUGCAUUAGUGUUGUACGUUGUAGUGCAGGUUUGGCCAUGAACUAUGUUGCCUAGUCUAGGACCAGUUCAGCUAGAUAUGCAUCUGCCAUAAAUACAUUUUGUGUGAAAAAAUAUUUUGGUCGGAUUGGUUGGGUUAGUGAGAAAAUAAAUUAAGCUUUUGGUCUCCGAGUCACCAUCGUACGCUUGUUCGUGAUAUAAUAAUAUACGUCCUAGAGAAAAGCUUAAUCCGUCUUUCGACCAUUUAAAUUUCAUUGUGGCUUCAUACGGAUCAAUUUGCAGUCAAGCUAUGAUUUUGAUUAUUUUAUUUUUUUAUAGUAUUCCAGAUGGAUUUCCGUCUUAAUCUUUUUAAAAUUGCUGAGCAUUUAUUAUCAUAUAUUCUAGGCCAUGCUAGUAUGUUGUAGUUGUAGCAAAUGUUGUAGCACAUCAGAGCUUUGACCAACCACACAAAUGCAAUUCUAAUCUUCUGAAUGUUGCUUAACAGGUAUAUUGAUUUAGAAUAAAUGAAUGUACUGCUCAUUCUCUCUUUGAAUAGUAUACAAUACUUGAUGUUUUAAAACAAAAUGUCAUAUUGUUCAUACGUAUCGAUCGUAUCAUAUAUAAAAAUGAUGAGUAUGUUGUAUUCACAGAGUUCACUAACUAAACAACAUCUACUCCUUUCUUAUGAGCAUAUACUCUAGCUCAUUUCUGUGGAUAAAUUACUGUCCCAAAAAUUUACUGGCAAGGGUCCUUCCUCUCUUGGGUCUUGUUUGGCAUAAUUGACCUUCCAGUUGACGACUUGUGUCCUCAAAUUUUACAUCAGUACCUUUGGUCUUGAUGUUGUUAUACCUUUUACUCGAACUUCGUGUCAUCCUUGUGGCUGCACUAAUGAUACUUUUAUCCUUGGUGUUACGAACAUCUGACCCUUCAUGUUCAACUUUUAUCUUUUUUCUUUUGCAUGAACACUUCUUGUAUUUUUGGGCCCUGCUUUUUCAGAUUUACUUUUUCCAUUUUCUUCAUCUUCUGAGUCUGAUAAUACAACAGAUCUUCGCCUCCUUUUCCUGCCAUCGACACUUGUUGAUGACUUUUUAUGUUGAUGCUCCUUCUGAUGUACUGUACUCCCAUUUCUUUUAACUUUUGGCUCCUCUUUCACAGGGACCAAUUGACUUGCAUUUUUGCUAAGUUCACAUUUCUAAUUUGUACCUGCAAAAAUCAAAUUAACGGAUGAAUUUAUGAAAAGAAAAGUUCGGACGGUGAAGUAUUCAACCGCCUUUUUAACUGGCUCAUUCAGUUUCUUUUGUUUCCUGUUUUAACAUGUUUUCCACUUCAGCACCCAUCAAAUCCUGUUGAGCACAAUGGUUCAAGAACUGUAAAUACCUGCUUCAAUAGUUCAAUAUAAAAGAGUAUAAUAAUUGUUGUUUAAAUAGAUUUGAUUGUUUAAUAGACCGUUACCUCUUUAGCUUUAUCAAGUAUCUCUUCUCAAGCUUCUCAUCCGGCACAAAUAUUUUCUUUACUGCAUAGUUCUGCAUGCCUAGAUUGAGGUUCUUAUUGUUGAGUUUGAAUCGAAAGGUAAGUCUUUGUCCACAUAAUUCUUGUAUAAUUUUUAGGACUUCUUCAGAUUUUUCAUCUAAGGAAUCCAACAGGAAUGAGACUGACGUAUUGAGCAUUCUUUCAACCUUUUCAUCAAAUAAAGUGCAACUUGUAGUGGCAUUGUGAUCACUAAUUUGAAGCCGAAUGCGAUACCUAGAAUCACAUUUCAUUAGUGUAACGCAAAUGUAAUAGUACAUAAUGAUGGUCAAAUCAAUAGAAUAUGCUUACCUAGGUGUUACACCUUCUGGAUACGUAUCACAAUUCUUGCAAUAAUAAUUAUGCGAUUCUUUCAUAGCAAUUUUGUUGCAAACAUCGCAUGACACGUACUACCAUUGAAUAUUUUCUUGUAACCGAUCAAUUGUAGCUAUUGUUCUGAAUACAAAGUACUGAAAGUUGAUGAAGAAAAUAUAGCACUUCAAAAAAUACAGAGGCACUCAUACAAAUAUGUCAAAUACAUCUAUAGGUCUUGGAGGCUUCUACAAUAUCAUAUCUUAGAAGAGUUCUGAUUCAUUACCUCAUCUGUUGGGUUGUAGUGCCUGAUUCCAGUAAGUUCUUUUAAGGUUAUCCUUCUGUAGAACAUUUGAUCUUCCAGUGUACCUUGAGUACUUUUAUCUAUCUCCAUCAUUUUUGGUAGAGUUUCUUCGGGGGAGCGCCUAUAAGUCAAAGUUAGUAAAUGAAGAUAUAUUAUGAACUUCUAUAUCACCAGUACCUAAAAAUUGUGCUUAAUACCUCCCACAAAGUUCCCAAGUCUCGGGUAUAUCUAGAUUGGUAUAUAAUCUCGUGGCGCUAGUUGUCUUUAGGCACAAACCUAUUUAAUGAGCAAUAAAUCUAUUAGAUUUAUUAUUUUGGUAUAAAAAUGACGUGUAAACAUACUAAGCUUACCAUUGAAUUUUUGCACCAUUGUUGAGGUAACAAUAAUAGUUGUUUCAUUGCAAAUUACUGAUGACCCACAAGUAUAGGGGAUCGCAAAAGGUUUCGAGGGUAGAGUAUUCAAUCCAAAUUUAUAGAUUCGACACAAGGGGAGCCAAAGAAUAUUUGUAAGUAUUAGCAGCUGAGUUGUCAAUUCAACCACACCUGGAGAUUAAUAAUCUGCAGCAAAGUGAUCAGUAACAAAGUAGUAUGAUAGUUUUGAUAAUAGUAGCAGUAGCAAUAGUAACGGUAACAGUGAUAGCAGUGAUUUAGUAGCAAGUGUAACAGUAACAAUAGCAGUAGUAACUUAGCAGAAACAAUAUAAGAUAAAUUCAUAGGCAUUGGAUCGGUGAUUUGUUGGAUGAUAUUCAUCAUGUGACAGUCAUAACCUAGGGUGAUACGACACUAGCUCCAAUUCAUAAAUAUAAUGUAGGCAUGUAUUCCGUAAAUAGUCAUACAUGCUUAUGGAAAGAACUUGCAUGACAUCUUUUAUCCUACCCUCCCGUGGCAACGGGGUCCUAUUGGAAACUAAGGGAUAUUAAGGCCUCCUUUUAAUAGAGAACCGGACCAAAGCAUUAAUACACGGUGAAUACAUGAACUCCUCAAACUACGGUCAUCACCGGGAGAGGUCCCGACUAUUGUCACUCCGGGGUUGUCGGAUCAUAACACGUAGUAGCUGACUAUAACUUGCAAGAUUGGAUCUAGAACAUGGAUAUAAUGGUGAUAACAUAAACGGCUCAGAUCUGAAAUCAUGGCACCCAGGCCCAAAGUGACAAGAAUUAAGCAUAUCAAAGUCAUAGCAACAUCAAUCUCAGAAGAUAGUGGAUACUAGGGAUCAAGCCCUAACAAAACAAACUAGAUUACAUGAUGAGUCUCAUCCAACUCCUCACCGACCAGCGAGCCUACAAAGGAAUUACUCACUCCCGGCGGGGAGCAUUAUGGAAUUGGCGAUGGAAAAGGGUUGGUGAUGACAAAGAUCAAAGACCCCCCUCUCCGGAGCCCCAAGCGGACUCCAGAUCUGGCCUCCCAAUGAAGAACAGGAGGUGACGGCGGCUUCAUCUCGUGGAACAUGAUAAUUCUUUCUCCCUGAUUUUUUAUGGAAAAAUAGGAUUUUAUAGCGUCGGUUUCAGGGUCUGCGGGGCCACCAGGUGGGGACAACCCACCUGGGCGCGCCUGGAGGGGGGCGCGCCCUGGUGGGUUGUGCCUACCCAGGUGCCCCCCUCCGGUGGUUCUUGGCUCCAGAAAUUCUCUUUUAUUGUAUAAAAAAUCCUUGCAAAGUUUCGUUCCAUUCCGAGAACUUUCAUUUCAACACAAAAAACAACACCAUGGUAGUUCUGCUAAAAACAGCGUCAGUCCGGGUUAGUUUCAUUCAAAUCAUGCAAAUUAGAGUCCAAAACAAGAGGAAAAGCAUUAGGAAAAGUAGAUACGACGGAGACGUAUCAACUCCCCCAAGCUUAAACAUUUGCUUGUCCUAAAGCAAUUCAGUUGAUAAACUUAAAGUGAAAAAGAAAAACUUUUACGAACUCUUUUGCUCUUGUUUGCAUAAAUAGGCUUAAACAACACCCAUGUUUUUAGCCAAUAUUAUAACUAACCAUGCCGACAAUAACUCUUAAAAAUUAUAUUAACUCAUAUCAAUGACAUAAUCAGCUAGCGAGCAAUAAUAAGAUAUCUCAAACAGCAACACGUUAUCAAAACAACCAUGGUAAAAUAUGACAAUAGUGGUAUCUCGCUAGCCCUUUCUGAGACUGCAAAACAUAAAUGCAAAGCACCUCCAAAGUUCAAGCAGCGACUAAACAUUUUAAUUCAUGGUAGAAAAGAUCCAGCCAUGAUGCACCAACAUUAGCUACACACAAUGCAUAAGCAUGACACAAUGCUCUCAGGUUCUGGCGUUUAUUUUAGAAGGUGGUGACAAAACAUAAAAGUAAAUAGAUAGUCCCUUCGCAGAGGGAAGCAGUGAUUUGCAGAGGUGCCAGAGCUCAAGUUUUUGAAAGAGUGGUAAAUGAUAUUUUGAGAAAUGCACCCUUCUUGUUUACUUUGCGACCGUCAGUUAUCAAUAUCUUCCAUGCUAAACACAUUAGUAGCGGUUCCCAAGCGAUAAAAGUAAAGGUUAUGACUCCGUAGGAGUUUUUGUUUGAUUAUUUGUAAGCUCUUUUCUGUUUGCAGUUUGGGACUGGGGAUCCCUAUUACCACCCCUUUCUCGUGCGAUGGCGAGUGAAUAAACACUCGACCUAAGAAUAAUCCGCUUAGCAUGGAAGAUACCGACUACCUCUUGUCGUUCCAUGAACGAUCCAGGCACACAAAAAGGAUAUUUAUUUGAAGUUUUUAGAGAUGGCACAUGCAAAUUUACUUAGGACGGCAGGGUAAUACCGCAUAUAGGUAGGUACGGUGGACUCAUCUGGAAUAACUUGGGUUCAAGGUUUUUGAUGUACAAGCGGAAAUCGCACUUAGUACAGGCAAAGGCUAGCAAAUAGGUUGAGAAGCGGUUAGCUAGAGAGCAACAAUGGUCAUGAACAUGCAUUAUGCAUAAGUAACAUUGGACACUAGCAUGAGUAGGAUAUGAACACCAUGAACAUAAAUAUCAUAGAGGUUAUGUUGGUUUUGAUUCAACUACAGGCAUGAACAUGUGCCAAGUCAAGCCACUCAAACAUUCAGAGGAGGAUACCAUAUCAUCAUACUACAUCACAAUCAUUUUAACGCAAUGUUGACAUCCAAGAUAAGUCAUUAUCCAAUCCCAGCUACUUAUGCAUGGCAUGAGAAACUAUAAUCUCUAAUUUUCAUUGCAAACAUGUUUAAUCACAACAGGCUGAAUCAUGGAUACUAGGUUAAACAUAUUUAGAAAAAACAGAACUAGUUGAGUUCAUACCCGUUUCUCUCUGCCACGGCCAGUUCAUCAAAUUUCGUCAUUAUUGCCUUUCACUUGCAUGACCGAACGAUAUGAAAAUAAUAAUAGUGCAAGAGUGUUGUGGAUUAAGUUGCAGUCUGCAAACAUUUUAUUCAACAGGAGAAGAGAAGGUAAAAUGGGCUCUCUUAGAUCAACAAUAAUGCAUAUGAGAGCCACUCAACAUUUUCAUCGUGGUCUUCUCCUCGGUACGACUCAAUAAAAAGAAAAGAAAUUCAGAGAAACACACUGAAAUAUUUUUAGAGUUUUUGGUCUUAUCUGAAAGAAGCAAAUAAAAAGGAAAAACAAAAAUGAGAAAAACUAUUUACAGGGGAAAGCUCCCAACAAGCAAAAGAAGAACAUGGAAAUCCUUUUUGGGUUUUCUUUUUAGUGCUACAACUAACUACUCUAGAAAGAAAAAUAAAAAAGAAGCAGGAAAUAUUUUGUAUUUUCUCAAAGUUUUUCAAACACACAAGAAAAAAGCGAGAAAAUAAAUUAAGCAUGGAUAAUACAAUGAAAAAGUAUGAGCACCGACAAAUGAAAUGUGUGAACAUGAAUGUAAUGUCAGUGGGAAUACGUACUCCCCCAAGCUUAGGCUUUUGGCCUAACUUGGUAAUCAGUAGUCGAAGAAACCAUGGGGUCCCACGUCGAAGUGCUAUGGAGCGGGUUCCUGUGGAUCCCACUGCUGAGGCUCCACAUGUGCUGUAGCUAGGUUGUUCCCGUAAGCGAUGAUGUCCGCAGGCAUAAUCCUGUAUCCACCCCUGGCAAUAGGAUCAAACAAGGCAGGUCCAGGCAAUGGAAAAAUAUCACGAGUUUUCACACUGAAAACCAGGUUAUAAGGAAUAGGAAUGUCAGGGUAGCCGGCAGCAAUAAACUGGUGCUAUUCCAUAGCAGCGCGAUCUAGGCGAACCUUGGGCAAAGUGUAAUCAUGCUGGCGUAUCUGAAUGUUAAAAGGAUUAGCCAAGUGAGUAGCGUAAAUACCACCAUGUAUUUUGCCCUUAGAUUUAUUAAUAUGGAGGCGGUGUGCCACAAUAGCUCCCAAGCUAUAAGUGUUGUCGCCUUCAAGUGCACGACAUAAAACAGCAAGGUCUGGGGCACUGAGUGCACCCACCUUCUCUCUAUCAAGCAGGCUCUUUGCAAUGAAAAGAGCAAAAUAAUGAAUAGUAGGAAAGUCCAAGCUAGUGGCGGUGACACUCGAUACUCCUCUCUCAUCCCCCAUAGACAGAGUACGAUAAAAUCCUUCAAACUCUGCAGGCCUAGGCUCUACCAAACCACCAUCAGAAGGAAGCAAGCAUAUUUCACAGAACUCGGUAAGAGGUAUGUGAUGGGGUUCAGAGUAUAAUUUAAACUGCACUUCAGGGGGAUUAUUCCUAGGAAGGAAAUUAAAACUUUUUACAAAGGAGUUUGUGAGGAGAUGAUACUGUUCACAUUCAGCUGCGAUGAAGUCAGUGAGGCCGGCAUUAGCAGCAUAUUGUGUAAACUCCUGAAGGAUUCCGGACCCUUCCAUGAACGGGGUAUGUGGCCAUUCGCACGGCCGUAGCUCCACCAAUCUCUGGGUGCGGAGAUCACUGUCAGAUGACUCCCCGACCACUCCCGUGGAGUUCUUCUUGGAAGAAAACUUCCUAAAGAUACUCAUGUUUUUCCUAUGAACAAAAAUUCUGAAAUUUUUAGUCCAUAAAAUUUUCCCAACAAAACUUUACAAGAUUGGUAGCAACUACUCAUAGGGAUGCAUAGAGGCCAUAGCAACCAUCCAAACUACUUAAAACUCUAAGAAUUCAACAUGCAAGCUCAUCUACAGUAGCACCAAGAGUAGCUAAUUAUUCAAAAUAUAAUCCACUAAAGCAAAAACUAAUUGGACAAACGGAGCAGUCACAUACCAAGCAACAAUUCCCCGAAACAGUUUCGAAAACGGAGCUUCGAGCAAAGAGAUCGAAAUCCGCGUGUUUGAGAGCAAGAACACGAGAGAAAGAGAGAGAGAGAGAGAGAGAGAGAGAGAGAGAGAGAUAGAGAGAGAGAGAGAGCAAUGGUGAUUUUUUUCUGGAGGUAGGUGAUGAUGUGGGAUGAAGAGAUAAGUGAGGGGGCUCACGUGGGGACCACAACCCACCAGGGUGCGCCUGGGGGUCCUGGCGCGUCCAGGUGGGUUGUGCCCACCUGGUGCACCUCCAUCUCAUAUUAUUUGCAACACAAAUUCUUAAAUAUUCAGAAAAAAAUCGUAUUAAAUUUUCAGAGUAUUAUGAGAACUUUUAUUUUUGGGUCAAUCUUUAUUGUACGGGAAAAUCAGAAAACAGGCAAAACAUGGUAUUUUAUUUUAUUUAACUAAUAAAAACAUAAAACAAAAGGUUGGGACAGAAGGUAGUGCUCACUAAAUUCAUCAACUUCAUACCUCUAAAAAAUGAUCCAUUAAUAAGGUUGAUCAAGUCUUAUUAACAACCACUUUCGAUUAGCAUGAAACCGAAGAACUUUCGUAAAUCACUAAGUUACCUCAAUGGGGAUAUGAAUGUCCCCAACAAUAAGCAUUUCAUAUUUCUUUUUGACAGUAGGUAGAGGUAGUUGAAAACUCCCAAUAGUGAUUGUCGAAGAUUUUUCAAUAACAUUAAUACCAUUCACUUGGAAUUGUUUCUUCGGAAAGUGCACCGUAUGCUCAUUACCAUUGAUAUGAAAAGUGACCUUGCUUUUAUUGCAGUCAAUAACAGCCCCUGCAGUAUUCAAGAAGGGUCUACCAAGGAUAAUCGACAUGUUGUCGUCCUCGGGCAUCUCAAGUAUAACAAAGUCAGUCAAAAUAGUAACAUUAGCAACAACAAUGGGCACAUCCUCACAAAUACCGAUAGGUAUGGCAGUUGAUUUGUCAGCCAUUUGCAAAGAUAUUUUAGUAGGUGUGAUUUCAUUCAAAUCAAGUAUUUUAUAUAAAUAGAAAGGCAUAACACUAACACCAGCUCCCAAAUCACAUAAAGCAGUUUUCACAUAAUUUGUUUUGAUGGAGCAAGGUAUAGUUGGUAUUCCCGGAUCUCCAAGUUUUUGAGGUACUCCAUCUUUAAAGGUAUAAUUAGUAAGCAUAGUGGAGAUUUCAGCUUCCGGUAUUUUCCUCUUAUUGGUGAUGAUAUCCUUCAUGUACUUUGCAUAAGGAGGCAUUUUAAGGAUAUCAGUCAAGCGAGUUCGCAAAAAGACUGGCCUCUGCAUUUCAGCAAAGCGUUCAAAUUCUUCAUCAUCUUUCUUUUUAGUUGACUUAGGUGGAAAGGGCAUAGGUUUUUAAACCCAUGGUUCUCUUUCUUUACCGUGUUUCUUAGCAACAAAGUCUCUUUUAUCAUAUAUUUUAUUCUUGGGUUGUGGGUUAUCAAGAUCAACUUCUGGUUCUAUCUCAACAUCAUUGUCUGGUUGUUUAUUAUUUGUUUGAGUGUCUUCAUGAACAUCAUCAUUAUCUUUUUCAUUGUCAGAAGGUGAGUGUUCACUACCAGAUUGAGCUUCAGCAUCAGAGAUAGAGACUUCAUUACUAUUAUUAGCAGGUUUUUCUACUUUAGGUUCACUAGAGGCAUGCAAAGUCCUAUCAUUUUUCUUCUUCUUUUUCUUUUUAGCAGGACUACGUGCAUCAGUGUUAACUCUUUGAGAGUCUUGUUCAAUUAUUUUUGGGUGUCCCUAAGGAUAAAGUGGUUCCUGAGUCAUUUUGCCUCCUCUAGUUGCUACACUAACAGCAAAGUCAUGUAUAUUAUUGUUCAUUUCAUCUAACAACUCUCUUUGAGAUUUAGCAACUUGUUCUAACUGAGUUUGAACCAUAGAAGCAUGCUUUCCCACUCAACCGAGCAUUCAUAUCAGAAUUGUAUAUUAAUUGUUUCAUAACGUUUGUGAAAGCACAAGUACUCCCUGGGUGAUUUUGGUAAUUAAUCUCAACAUAUCUCUUGUUGGACUAAUACUUUCAUCUAGUAUAUUUCAGAAAGCUCAGCAAAGGCGUGGCGUGGACAAGAGGAUGAGGAACCCCUUCAAAAUGCUAAGGACAAAUAUUGGCAAAAGCUCAAGACUCUUCAUUUCUAUUUUAGUGAUCAAAGAUCGCAUUGAGUCCGUAGGAAAAGCCAAUACUAUUAAAAGGGGAUGAGGUGUUGCUUAAUGGUAUACUUGCUCAAAAUGCUUAGUGAUAUGUUCCAAAGCCCUCAACCACUUUCUCAAAUCCAAAUACGUCCUAAACCUAAAGUCAAACUCGGCCCCACCGAUUUGAUUCAUCUGGCGCCACCGAGUUCACUUGACAUAGACAUAGCCAGAAACGCUAAUCAGUUCGGUCUCACCGGUAGGGAUCUCGGUCUCACCGAGAUGGGAUUGCAAACUCUCUGUUUCCCUUCGGAACAUUUGGUCUCACUGAAAUGAGCGAUCGGUCCCACCGAGUUAGUAGUGCAAACUCUAUAUUUCCCUUUCGUAACGUUUCGGUAUCACCAAAAGGAGCGAUCAUUCCCAUCGAGUUUGCCUGACCAACUCUCUGUUAGCUUAUUACUGAAAUUGGUCUCACCGAGUUCACGUAAUCGGUCAAACCAAGAUGAAGUUUUGCCCUAACCCUAGCACAUCGGUCCCACCGAGUUGAUCAUGUCGGUCCCAUCGAAAAUCCUAACGUUCACAUUUUGAACUGAAUCGGUCUCACCGAGUUUACCUAUUCGGUCUGACCGAGUUGGCUCAAAUGUGUGUAACGGUUAGAUUCUGUGUGGAGGCUAUAUAUACCCCUCCACCCCUUUCUCCAUUUCUGAGAUAGCCAUCAGAACAUGCCUACACUUCCACUAUUCAUUUUCUGAGAGAGAACCACCUACUCAUGUGUUGAGACAAAGACAUUCCAAUCCUAUCACAAGAAUCUUGAUCUCUAUCCUUCCCCAAGUUGCUUUCCACUCAAAUCAUCUUUCCACCAUAGCCAAAUAUGUGAGAGAGAGUUGAGUGUUGGGGAGACUAUCAUUUGAAGCACAAGAACAAGGAGUUCAUCAUCAACACACCAUCCAUUACCUUUUGGAGAGUGGUGUCUCCUAGAUUGGUUAGGUGUCACUUGGGAGCCUCCGUCAAGAUUGUGGAGUUGAACCAAGGAGUUUGUAAGUUCAAGGAGAUCGCCUACUUCAUGAAGAUCUACCCAAGUGAGGCAAGUCCUUCGUGUGCAAUGGCCAUGGUGGGAUAUACAAGGUUGCUUCUUCGUGGACCCUUCAUGGGUGGAGCCCUCCGUGGACUCGCGCAACCGUUACCCUUCAUGGAUUGAAGUCUCCACCAACGUGGAUGUACGAUAGCACCACCUACCGGGACCACGCCAAAAAUCUCCGUGUCUCCAAUUGCGUUUGCACACUCCAAUCCCAUCCCUUUACUUUCUUGCAACUUGCAUGAUUUACUUUCCGUUGCUCAUAUACUCUUGCCAUGCUUGCUUGAAAUGUAUUGUGAAUGCUUAAACUUAUGCUAAAAUUCCACAUCAACUUGAAGAACUUAAAAACUGCUACUUUUGCUUGUUGAGGGUCUAAUCAACCCCCCCUCCUAGACACCUCUUCUAGAUCCUUUCAAUUGGUAUCAGAGCAUUGGUCUCCAUUGCUUUGGUUUAAUCACCUUUGGACAAAGAUGGAUGAAUCUGCGAUGGGGAGUUUUAGACAUAGAGUGCAUAUGCUUGAUGGAGAGUUCUUUAAUGCUUGGAAAAAUGAGAUGCUUAAGAUUUUCAAUGAAUAUCACUUGAACAAGUACAUUACUAGCCCUUGUGUGCCCCUUAUUGACCCCUUGCAUCCUACCCCCGAUGAGUCUCUUGACAUGAUUCGCAAUCUUAGAACUAUCAAUCUUAUCAUUAGAGGAUUGCCUAGAAAUUUGAUUUCAUGCUUGCCUACUCUUGAAUGUGUUUACACCAUAUGGAGGUAUCUUGAGGAACACUUUCCAGACUAUUCCUUGAAAAAAUUAGAUGAGAUUCUUCAAAAGUCCAUUGCUUUAAAUAGGAUGAAUCCUAAUGAUCCUAAGUUUGGUGAUUUUCAAUUUGAGCUUUGUGACCUUAUGCGUGCCAAAGGAGAUGUUGGAAUCAUUAGUAACAUCAUCUCGGAAGUCAUUAGAAUUCAUAAAGAUGCACAUUGUCAUGAUCAUAAAUCUAAUGAAUCACUCUCUCUAGGUGAUGAUCAAUCACAAGAUGAUGUUAACAUGGAUAAUAUGAUGAGGAUGAUGAUAGUGACUUUGAUCUCGAUGAGUCUAUGAUACACUUUGGUCUUAUGGCUAAUCUUCGCGGCUACAUGGCUGGAGGAAAGGAAUGGGUCCUUGAUAGUGGAUGUACCGAUCACAUGACGGAAGACAAGGAUAUGUUUUGUGAGCUUGCUGAAAAUGACAGCCCUCGAAAGUAUGUCACUUUUGGUGAUAACUCAAAGGGUAAGGUGGUUGGCCUUGGUAAGGUGGCCAUCUCACCUGACAGCUUCAUCCAAAAUGUUAUGCUCGUUGAAUCUCUUGGUUAUAAUUUACUUUCCAUAUCUAGACUAGCCGAUUUCGGUUUCAAUGUCCUAUUUACUGGAGUAGAUUGCCAAGUGUUUCGAAGAGAUAAUCAUAAUAUGGUCUUUACCGGUAUACGUAGAGGUGAUCUAUACAUUGUUGAUUUCACUAGAAAGGCUCAAGCUAGAACUUGCUUAAUUGCUAAAUCAUCUAAAGGCUGGUUGUGGCAUAGAAGGUUAGGCCACGUGGGCAUCCAAAAUCUUGAUAAGCUUAUUAAAGGUGAUCAUAUCCUUGGAGUUAAAGACGUUAUAUUUUGACAAGGAUAGACUUUGCAGUGCCUAUCAAGCAGGAAAACAGGUUGGAGGAAGCCACCCCGUGAAAAACAUCAUGACCACAAGAAGACCGCUCGAGCUGCUUCAUAUGGAUCUUUUUGGUCCAAACGCCUACAAAAGUCUCGGUGGUAACUCAUUCGGUUUAGUCAUUGUCGAUGACUUUUCAAGCUUUACGUGGGUUUUCUUUCUUGAUGAUAAGUCGCAGGUCCAAAAGAUCUUCAAGAACUUUGCUAGGAAGGCCCAAAAUCAAUUUGAAGUGAAGAUCAAGAAGGUUCGCAGCGACAACGGAACUGAGUUCAAGAACGCCAAUGUGGACACCUUUCUUGACGAAGAAGGGAUUUCACAUGAGUUCUCAGCUACGUACACACCUCAACAAAAUGGAGUUGUUGAGAGGAAGAACUGGACUCUUAUCGAGAUGGCGAGAACGAUGCUUGAUGAGUACAAGACGCAAAAACACUUUUGGGCCGAAGCGGUUGAGACAGCUUGUCAUGCAACAAAUUGUAUAUAUCUUCACAAGCUAGUCGGCAAGACGGCAUACGAGCUUCUCACCGGUAACAACCCCAAGUUGGAUACUUCCGAGUAUUCGGCUCAAACUGCUAUAUUUUUUAUAAGCAUCGUCGUUCGAAAUUUGCUCCUAAAUAUCAUUAAGGUUUCCUACUGGGUUAUGGCUCAAACACUCACACUUAUCGUGUCUACAAAAAUUUCAACCGAAAGGUUGAAGAGAUGGUAGAUGUGAAGUUUGAUGAAUCUAACGGCUCACAAGUAGAGCAAUUGCCAAUUGAUGUAGGAGACAAAGACCCUUUAGAAGCAAUCCAAGACUUGUCUAUUAGCAAGAUUCGCCCAACGGAGGUGAAGGUGAGUACUUCGUCCAUUCAAGUGGAAGCCUCUACCUCAAAACAAAGUGAACCCCGAGUUGACUUGGAGGCAUCCACAAGUGGGACACGCCAAGAUGAGGGAAACGAGGAAGUAGACCAAGAUGAACCUCAUCAACCUCCUUCUCCACCUCCAGAAGAGAACAACAACACCAACAAUGAAAAAGGCCAAGAGGAAGAACAAGAUGAUGAAUAAGAUGUUCCACCCCGACCCAAACAAAUGCUCUCACGAGUUAGAGCAAGAGUUUCAAGAGGUCAUCCCGUCGAACAAAUCUUUGAUGAUAUCCAAACCGGGAGAAUUACUCGCUCUAAAACUCGUUUGGCUAAUUUGUGUGAACAUUAUUCAUUUAUCUCUAGUAUUGAACCUAUGAAGGUUGAAGAAGUGCUUGAUGAUCCGGAUUGGGUGAACGCCAUACACGAAGAGCUACACAACUUCGAGAGGAACCAAGUGUGGACAUUGGUAGAGAAGCCCAACAACAACCAAAAUGUCAUUGGAAGCAAAUGGGUGUUUGAUACAUCUUUAGCAUCAUGUUUUCUUACUAUUAUUUAUGAUGUUUUUAUGCAUAAUAAUGCUUUUCAGAGUAAUUCUAAUGCCUUUUCUCUCAUAAUUUGCAAGGUACACACCAAGAGGGAGAAUUCCGGCAACUGGAAAUCUGGACCUGGAAAAGUACGUCAGGCUACCUAUUCUGCACAACUCCAAACAAGCUGAAACUUCACGGAGAAUUUUUAUGGAAUAUUUGAUGAAUAUUGGAGAAAAUAAGUACCAGAGGAGGCCCACCAGGUGGGCACAACCCACCCAGGCGCGCCCUGGUGGGUUGUGCUCACCCAGGCCCACCUCAGGUGCCCAUAUUCUAGUAUAUAAGUUAUUUUGACCUAGAAAAAAAAUAAGGAGAGGACUUUCAGAACGGAGCGCCGCCGUCUCGAGGCGGAACUUGGGCAGGAGCACUUUUGCCCUCUGGCGAAGCGAUUCCGCCGGGGGAACUUCCCUCCCGGAGGGGGAAAUCAUCGUCAUCAUCAUCACCAACAACUCUCCCCUCUUGGGGAGGGCUAUCUCCAUCAACAUCUUCAACAGCACCAUCUCAUCUUGAACCCUAGUUCAUCUCUUGUGUUCAAUCUUGUUACCAGAACUAUAGAUUGGUGCUUGCAGGUUAUUAGUAGUGUUGACUACAUCUUGUAGUUGAUUACUUUAUAGUUUAUUUGGUGGAAGAUUAUAUGUUCAGAUCCAUUAUGCUAUUUAAUACCCCUCUGAUCUUGAGCAUGAUUAUCAUUUGUGAGUAGUUACUUUUGUUCUUGAGGUCACGGGAGAAAUCAUGUUGCAAGUAAUCAUGUGAACUUGAUGUGUGUUGGAUAUUUUGAUAGUAUGUAUGUUGUGAUUCCCUUAGUGGUGUCAUGUGAACGUCGACUACAUGAAACUUCACCAUAUUUGGGCCUAAGGGAAUGCAUUGUGGAGUAGUAAUGAGAUGAUGGGUUGCGAGAGUGACAUAAGCUUAAACCCUAGUUUAUGCGCUAUUCCGUAAGGGACCGAUUGCUUCCAAAAGUUUAAUGCUAUGGUUAGAAUUUAUUCUUAAUACUUUCCCGUAGUAGAGGAUGCUUGCGGGAGGGUUAAUCAUAAGUAGGAGGUUUGUUCAAGUAAGAACAACACCUAAGCACCGGUCCACCCACAUAUCAAAUUAUCAAAGUAGCGAACACAAAUCGAACCAACAUGAUGAAAGUGACUAGAUGAAAUUCCCGUGUACCCUCAAGAACGCUUUGCUCAUUAUAAGAGACCGUUUUGGCCUGUCCUUUGCCUCAAAAGGAUUGGGCUACCUUGCUGCACUUUUCUUAGUACUAUCAUUACUAGCUCAUUACAAAAAUAUCUUGCUAUCAAUCUACUCUGCUACUCACAAUUUCAACACUUGCAGACAUUACCUUGCUGAAAACCACUUGUCAUUUCCUUCUGCUCCUUGUUGGGUUCGACACUCUUACUUAUCUAAAAGAGCUACAAUUGAUCCCCUAUACUUGUGGGUCAUCAAGGCUAUUUUCUGGAGCCGUUGCCGGGGAGUGAAGCGCCUUUGGUAAGUGGAAUUUGGUAAGGAAACAUUCAUAUAGUGUGCUGAAAUUUAUUGUCACUUGUUACUAUGGAGAACAAUCCUUUGAGGGGUUUGUUCGGGGUAUCUUCACCUUGACCGGAACCACAAUUAGCUACCCCUCAACCUACUGCACCUACUGAAAAUAUUGAAUAUGAAAUUCCUUCGGGUAUGAUAGAACAACUGCUAGAUAAUCCUUAUGCAGGAGACGGAACCGAACAUCCUGAUAUGCACUUGAUAUAUGUGGAACAAAUUUGUGGAUUGUUUAAGCUUGUAGGUUUACCCGGAGAUGAAGUUAUGAAGAAGGUUUUCCCUUCAUCUUUGAAGGGAAAAGCAUUGGCAUGGUAUAGGCUAUGCGAUGAUAUUGGAGCUUGGAACUGGAAUCGUUUGAAAUUGGAGUUUCACCAAAAAAUUAUCCUAUGCAUCUAGUUCAUCGUGAUUGGAAUUACAUAUAUAAUUGUUGGCCUCGUGAAGGAGGAAGUAUUGCUCUAGCUUGGGGGAGGCUUAAGUCAAUGUUAUAUUCAUGCCCCAAUCAUGAGCUCUCAAGAGAAAUUAUUAUUCAGAAUGUUUAUGCUCGGCAUUCUCGUGAUGAUCAAUCCAUGCUCGAUACUUCUUGUACUGGUUCCUUCAUGAAGACGACUAUUGAAUUCUGGUGGGAUUUUUGGGAAAUAAUUAAACGCAACUCUAAAGAUUGGGAACUCGAUGAAGGUAAAGAGUCAGGUAUUAAGCUUAAGUAUGAUUGUGUUAAAUCUUUUAUGAAUACCGAUGUUUUUCAAAAGUUUAGCACUAAAUAUGGACUUGACUCUGAGGUAGUAGCCUCCUUUUGUGAAUCAUUUGCUACCCACGUUGAUCUCCCUAAAGAGAAGUGGUUUAAAUAUCACCCACCUAUUAAAGAAGAAAUUAAAGAACCAGUACUAGCUAAGGAAGAAACUAUACUUUAUAAUGUUGAUCCAGUUGUUCCUACUGCUUAUAUUGAAAAACCACCUUUCCCUGUUAUGAUAAAGGAACAUGCUAAAGUUUCAACUGUUGUUAACAAAAGUUAUGUUCGAACACCUAAACCAGAUGAACAAAUUAAAGUAGAACCUAGUAUUGCUAUGGCUAAGGAUCUCUUGGAAGAAAAUGUAGACGGGCUUGUUAUUUACUUCUGUGAAGAAGCUGCUAGAAUUGCCAAACCUGAUAAAAAGGAUAAACACAAACCUAUUGCUGGCAUGCCCGUCUAUUAUCAUGGUUUAUGUGACAUAGGUGCUAGUGUAAGUGCUCCUUAUACCAAGAAAUUAUGAAUGACAUAGCACCCGCAGAGAUAGAAGACAUAGAUGUUAUUAUUAAACUUGCUAAUAGAGAUACUAUAUCACCAAUUGGGAUUGUUAGAGAUGUUGAAGUCUUGUGCGGGAAAAUAAAAUACCCUACUGAUUUUCUUGUUCUUUGUUCCCCACAAGAUGACGUGUGUCCCAUUAUCUUUGGUAGACCUUUCUUGAAAACCAUUAAUGCUAGAAUAGAUUGUGAGAAACAAACUGUUGGUGUUAGUUUUGGUGAUGAGUCUCAUGAAUUUAAUUUCUCCAAGUUUAGUAGAAAGCUUCAUGAAAAGGAAUUUCCUAGUAAGGAUGAAAUAAUUUGUCUUGCUUGUAUUGCCGUGCCCCCUACUGAUCCUCUAGAACAAUAUUUGCUAGACCAUGAAAAUGAUUUACAUAUGCAUGAAAGAAAUGAAAUAGAUGAUAUUUUCUUUGAACAACGUCCUCUGCUUAAACACAAUUUGCCUGUUGAAACUCUAGGAGGUCCUCCUCUACCUAAAGGUGAUCCUGUGUUUGAAUUAAAACAAUUGCCAGACACUUUGAAAUAUGCUUAUCUUGAUGAAAAGAAGAUAUAUCCUAUUAUUAUUAGUGCUAACCUUUCAGAACAUGAAGAAGAAAGAUUAUUGAAAGUUCUAAUGAAUCACCGAGCUGCUAUUUGGUAUACUCAUGAUGAUUUCAAGGACAUUAGUCCCACUCUAUGUCAGCACAAGAUUAAUAUGGAACCUGAUGCUAAACCCGUUGUUGAUCACCAACGUCAAUUAAAUCCGAAGAUGAAAGAGGUGGUAAGAACAGAAAUAUUAAAACUUCUGGAAGCAGGUAUAAUCUAUCAUAUAGCUGAUAGUAGAUGGGUAAGUCCUGUUCAUUGUGUUCCCAAGAAGGGAGGUACUACUGUUGUUCCUAAUGAUAAGAAUGAACUUAUUCCACAAACAAUUGUUACAGGCUAUAGAAUGGUAAUUGAUUUUCGAAAAUUAAAUAAAUCAACUAGAAAAGAUCAUUACCCUCUGCCUUUUAUUGAUCAAAUGCUAGAAAGAUUAUCUAAGCACACACACUUUUGCUUCCUUGAUGGAUAUUUUGGUUUUUCACAAAUACUUGUUUCUCAACCUGAUCAAGAAAAGACCACUUUUACUUGUCCCUUUGGAACUUAUGCUUAUAGACGUAUGCCUUUUGGUUUAUGCAAUGCACCUGCUACCUUUCAAAGAUGUAUGACUGCUAUAUUCUCUGACUUUUAUGAAAAUAUUGUUGAAGUUUUCAUGGAUGACUUCUCAGUUUAUGGGAAGUCUUUUGAUGAUUGUUUAAGCAAUCUUGACCGAGUUUUGCAGAGAUGUGAACAAACAAAUCUUGUCUUGAAUUGGGAGAAGUGCCACUUUAUGGUUAAUGAAGGUAUUGUCUUAGGUCAUAAGAUUUCUGAAAAGGGUAUUGAAGUGGACAAAGCUAAGGUUGAUGCAACUGAGAAAAUGCCAUGUCCUAAGAUAUCAAAGGUAUUCAUAGUUUCCUAGGUCAUGCUGGUUUCUAUAGGAGGUUUAUCAAAGACUUCUCUAAAAUUUCUAGGCCUCUUACAAACAUUUUGCAAAAGGAUGCCCCUUUUGUUUUUCAUGAUGAUUGUUUAGAAGCCUUUUAAACACUCAAGAAAGCUUUAAUUUCUGCACCUAUUGUUCAACCACCUGAUUGGAACUUGCCUUUUGAAAUUAUGUGUGAUGCUAGUGACUAUGUUGUUGGUGUUGUUCUAGGACAAAGAGUUGAUAAGAAAUUGAAUGUUAUUCAUUAUGCUAGUAAAACUCUAGACAAUGCUCAAAAGAAUUAUGCUACUACUGAAAAAGAAUUCCUAGCAGUGGUAUUUGCUUGUGGUAAAUUUAGAUCUUACAUUGUUUAUUCAAAAGUAAUUGUUCACACUGACCAUGCUGCUAUUAAAUAUCUUAUGGAAAAGAAAGAUGCUAAACCUAGACUUAUUCGAUGGGUUCUCUUGCUACAAGAAUUUGAUUUGCAUAUCACUUAUAGAAAAGGAGCUGAGAACCCCGUAGCUGAUAACUUGUCUAGGCUUGAAAAUGUGCUUGAUGACCCACUAUCUAUUGAUGAUAGUUCUCCUGAUGAGUAGCUAGCUGCAACAAAUGUUGUUCAUAGCACUCCUUGGUAUGCUGAUUAUGCUAAUUAUAUUGUUGCUAAAUAUUUACCACCUAGCUUCACAUACCAACAAAAGAAAAAAAUAUUCUAUGAUUUAAGACACUACUUUUGGGAUGACCCACAUCUUUAUAAAGAAGGAGUAGAUGGUAUUAUUAGACGUUGUGUACCUGAGCAUGAACAGGGACAAAUCCUUCAGAAAUUUCACUCCGAGACGUAUGGAGGGCAUCAUGCUGGAGACAGAACUGCUCACAAGGUAUUGCAAUCUGGAUUUUAUUGGCCUACUCUCUUCAAGGAUGCGUGUAAGUUCAUCUUAUCUUGUGAUGAAUGUCAAAGAAUAGGUAAUAUCGGUAAGCGUCAAGAAAUGCCUAUGAAUUAUUCACUUGCUGUUGAACCAUUUGAUGUUUUGGGAUUUGAUUACAUGGGACCUUUUCCUUCCUCUAAUGGGUAUACACAUAUUUUGGUUGCUGUUGAUUAUGUUACUAAAUGGGUAGAAGCUAUUCCAACUAGUAGUGUUGAUCACAACACCUCUAUUAAAAUGCUUAAGGAAGUUACCUUCCCAAGGUUUGGAGUUCCUAGAUAUUUAAUGACUGAUGGUGGUUCACACUUUAUUCAUGGUGCUUUCCGUAAAAUGCUUGCCAAGUAUGAUGUUAACUGUAGAAUUGCAUCACCUUAUCAUCCUCAGUCUAGUGGUCAAGUUGAGCUUAGCAAUAUAGAAAUAAAAUUAAUUUUGCAAAAGACUGUCAAUAGGUCCAGGAAGAAUUGGUCUAAGAAAUUAGAUGAUGCACUUUGGGCUUAUAGAACAGCAUAAAAAAUCCAAUGGGUAUGUCUCCUUAUAAAAUGGUUUAUGGAAAAGCUUGUCAUUUGCCUCUUGAAUUAGAACAUAAAGCAUAUUGGGAAAUCAAGGAACUCAACUAUGAUUUCAAACUUGCUGGUGAAAAUAGGUUAUUUGAUAUUAGCUCUUUAGAUGAAUGGAGAACCCAAGCUUAUGAAAAUGCCAAGUUGUUUAAAGAAAAAGUUAAAAGAUGGCAUGAUAAAAGAAUCCAAAAGCGUGAGCUUAAAGUUGGAGAAUAUGUUCUUUUGUACAACUCUCGUUUCAGGUUCUUUGAAGGAAAAAUCCUCUCAAAAUGGGAAGGACCCUAUGUUAUCGAGGAGGUUUAUCGGUCUGGAGCUAUCAAAAUAAAUAAUGCCGAAGGUACUGACCCGAAGGUUGUUAAUGGGCAAAAAAUAAAACAUUAUAUCUCAGGUACGCCCAUUAAUGUUGAAAGCAAUAUUAUCCAAACUUUGACACGGUAAAGAGUCCUUGCGGACCACUCCAGAAUCGUGAAAAUAAGGAGGUACGUGAUACGGUAAGUAAAUGGACUCCGAAAAAUCCCCAAUUUUUUUUUUCAGUUUUGUAAUAUUUAAAAAAUUAGGAAAAUAAGAACCCAGGUGGGUUGUGCCCACCUAGGGCACCUUCUGGACUCCGUUUUUCUUCCAUUUGCUUGUUUCCCAAGAUAAAAAAUCUUUAUAUACCCCCCGAACCUGUUGACCACCGUAUCGCAGAGAAAUCUCCUGUUUUCUUUUCCUUGUUGUUUUCUGUCAGAUCCCAUCCACCAUGGCCGCUUCAAGCUCCUCCAAGGACAAGUUCUUCAAGAACGUCAUCAACCCAUAUUUGCGGGAGGUGGUGCAGCACCCUCAAACCAUCCAGAUGCAUGAGUGGGUGCUACACAUCCGCGAUGUGCAAGGUCCCAAGGGCACGGGAACUGUGGAGGCCAGGCUUGAAGCUAUGGAGCAGGAGGUCUUCCGGUGCAAGGGGAUGGUGGAACGUGGACUCAAUGCCAAUCACCUCAUGAUCACGAACCUUAGCCGUGAUCUCAAGGUGGAUGGCAAGCCCGUGAAGGACAUCGUCUUCACCCUCAACGAGCAAAUCAACUUCCUCCAAAGCCAGAUCUAUGAUCUUCAUAACCAAGUCUUUGAAUAUGAGGCAAGGUUUAAAGUUAUGAGUUUGGCUGCUAGUUGCAGGACCCGUGAGACUCAUUCUUCCUCUUACGAUGGUGGACCUCUGCCAUGGAAACCCGAGGACAAGAUAUCUACUUCACCACCACCAUCUUCUUCAUCACCAAAAGAAAAUUGAGUAUCGGGUAUGGACACUCCCCUUGGCUUCGGCUAAGCGUGGGGGAGGUGUCCCGGUAUCGCAUCAUCCCCACUAUCUUUUCGCUUUUACUAUUUUAGUCCAAUCUAUUGCUUUAGAUGAAUAAACGUUUAGUUCGAUCCUUUUUUUCGAGAGUUUUGUUUAGUGAUAUAUCCUUGUAAUAGUGUGGAAGAUAUAUAAUAAAGUUUAGUUUGAGUUUUUUCUUUCUUUACUUUCAUGUUGCAAUAAAAGAAAGGAAAUAAAUAAAAAAGAAAGGAAAUAAAAGAAAAAGAUCAUAUGCUAAUCUUAUGGUAGGUGAUGGCGCCAAAUAAGGAAAGGUAUAAGUAGAAAAUUUUAUUAGAGAUUGACAAACAUAGAAUUGGUCAAUGAUGCAACUCAUGAAAGAAUUAAUAAGGGAAGAGAAGAUUCACAUAUAAAUACACUAUCCUAGAAAUCUUUUGUGAUUGUGAGCCCCCAUCAAAAUAUUAUAUGCCAAAAUUGUUGACGUUGGAGAAGGAAGAGAACUUAAUUAUUUAUGUUUGUUCAUAUUCACACAGAAGUCAUAUUGUCAUAGAUCCUUCAACAUGUGGUGCUUGCCCCUAUCUUUGCUAGCCAAAAAUUCCGCACCAAGUAGAUAUACUACUUGUGCAUCCAAAAACCUUUAAACCCAAAUCUUAUUUUCAAGAGUCCACCAUACCUACAUAGGGAUUGAGCAAGAUCCCUCAAGUAAGUUGUCAUCGGUGCAAAAAGGCAAUAAAAAUUGCUUCUAAAUGUGUGAGAUCAUUUAGUGUAAGAGAAAAUUGAGCGUUGCAUGAACUUGUGAUGGUGAAGAAUAAAGGCAACAGACUGCAUAAUAAAGGUCGCUAUCACAAGGGGCAAUGCAACGUGACGUUCUUUUGCACUAAGGGGUUGAGCAUACAAACAAAUAAGCGCAUGGCAACCUCCGCUUCCCUCUGCGAAGGGCCUAUCUUUUACUUUUAUGUAUUUACUUUUAUGCAAAGAGUCAAACUUUUCUUUCUAUUCCUUUUUAUUUUCUCCUUUGGGAAGCAUCAUGUGGUGAGGAAAGAUCUAAGCACAUAUGUCCAGGUGAAUAUGGGUGGCAUGAGUUAUUAUUGUUGACAUCACCCUUGAGGUGAAUACGUUGGGAGGCGAAACUAUAAGUCCCUAUCUUUCUAUGUGUCCACUUGAAACGUUUUGCUCAUGUGUAUGCGGUGAGUGUUAGCAAUCAUAGAAGACUAUAUGAUGGUUGAGUAUGUGGACUUGCCUAAAGGCUUUGAUACGUGACCCUUCCUGAAAAGAUGAUGAAUUGUAGUUGCAAAGUUGACUGAGAACAUAGUUUAUUGGUUUCUAAUAGAGUUUAUGCUUUAUACUUCAAUUGUGUGAUGAACUGUUACUUAUUCAUGUGAAGUCUAUGAUAAAAGUCCUAUGAUAAAAGUCUUAUGUUUAAUUUUGUUGCUGUAAUAAUAAUCUACAUGAUGCUUUUAUGUCCAUAUUUUGUUUUUAUCGACACCUCUCUCUCUAAGCAUGUGGACAUGUUUUUCGAUUUCGGUUUUUGCUUGAGGACAAGCGAGGUCUAAGCUUGGGGGAGUUGGUACGUCCAUUUAGCAUCAUGUUUUCUUGCUAUUAUUUAUGAUGUUUUUAUGCAUAAUAAUGCUUUUUGGAGUAAUCCUAAUGCCUUUUCUCUCAUAAUUUGCAAGGUACACACCAAGAGGGAGAAUUCCAGCACCUGGAAAUCUAGACCUGGAAAAGCUACGUCGGGCUACCUAUUCUGCACAACUCCAAACAAGCUGAAACUUCACGAAGAUUUUUUAUGGAAUAUUUGAUGAAUAUUGGAGCAAAUAAGUACCAGAGGAGGCCCACCAGGUGGGAACAACCUACCUGGGCGUGCCAGGGAGCCCAGGCGCGCCCUGGUGGGUUGUGCUCACCCAGGCCCACAUCCGGUGCCCAUCUCUGGUACAUAAGUCAUUUUUACCUAGAAAAAAUAAGGAGAGGACUUUCGGGAAGGAGCGCCGCCGUCUCGAGGCGGAACUUGGGCAGGAGCACUUUUACCCUCUGGCGGAGCGAUUCCGCCUGGGGAACUUCCCUCCGGAGGGGGAAAUCAUCGUCAUCAUGAUCACCAACAAAUCUCCCAUCUUGGGGAGUACUUGUUGGGGAACGUAGCAGAAAUUCAAAAUUUUCUACGCAUCACCAAGAUCAAUCUAUGGAGUUUACUAGCAACAAGAGGGAAGGAGUGCAUCUACAUACCCUUGUAGAUCGCGAGCGGAAGCGUUCAAGUGAACGGGGUUGAUGGAGUCGUACUCGUCGUGAUCCAAAUCACCGAUGAUCCUAGCGCCGAACGGACGGCACCUCCGCGUUCAACACACGUACGGAGCAGCGACGUCUCGUCCUUCUUGAUCCAGCAAGGGGGGAGGAGAGGUUGAUGGAGAUCCAGCAGCACGACGGCGUGGUGGUGGAAGUAGCGGGAUUCCAACAGGGCUUCGCCAAGCGCUGCGGGAGGAGGGAGGUGUGUCACGGGAGGGAGAGGGAGGCGCCAGGGCUUAGAUGUUGCUGCCCUCCCUUCCCCCCACUAUAUAUAGGGCCAAGGGAGAGGGGGGCGCAGCCUUGGCCCUUCCUCCAAGGAAGGGUGCGGCCAGGGAGGAGUCCUUCCUCCCCAAGGCACAUCCGAGGUGCCUUCCCCCUUUAGGACUCUCCCUUUAUCUUAUCUCUUGGCGCAUGGGCCUCUUGGGGCUGGUUCCCUUGGCCCAUAUAGGCCAAGGCGCACCCCCCACAGCCCAUGUGCCCCCCCGGGGCUGGUGGACCCCUUGGUGGACCCCCAGACCCCUUUCGGCACUCCCGGUACAAUACCGAUAAAGUGCGAAACUUUUCCGGCGACCAAAAUAAGACUUCCCAUAUAUAAAUCUUUACCUCCGGACCAUUCCGGAACUCCUCGUGACUUCUGGGAUCUCAUCCGGGACUCCAAAAAACUUUCGGGUUACCGCAUACUAAUAUCUCUACAACCCUAGCGUCACCAAACCUUAAGUGUGUAGACCCUACGGGUUCGGGAACCAUGCAGACAUGACCGAGACGUUCUCCGGUCAAUAAACAACAGCGGGAUCUGGAUACCCAUGUUGGCUCCCACAUGUUCCACGAUGAUCUCAUCGGAUGAACCACGAUGUCGAGGAUUCAAUCAAUCCCGUAUACAAUUCCCUUUGUCUAUCGGUAUGCUACUUGCCCGAGAUUUGAUCGUCGGUAUCCCGAUACCUUGUUCAAUCUCGUUACCGGCAAGUCUCUUUACUCGUUCCGUAACACACAUCAUCCCGUGAUCAACUCCUUGGUCACAUUGUGCACAUUAUGAUGAUGUCCUACCGAGUGGGCCCAGAGAUACCUCUCCGUUUACACGGAGUGACAAAUCCCAGUCUCGAUUCGUGCCAACCCAACAGACACUUUCGGAGAUACCUGUAGUGCACCUUUAUAGCCACCCAGUUACGUUGUGACGUUUGGUACAACCAAAGCAUUCCUACGGUAUCCGGGAGUUGCAGAAUCUCAUGGUCUAAGGAAAUGAUACUUGACAUUAGAAAAGCUCUGAGCAAACGAACUACACGAUCUUGUGCUAGGCUUAGGAUUGGGUCUCGUCCAUCACAUCAUUCUCCUAAUGAUGUGAUCCCGUUAUCAACGACAUCCAAUGUCCAUGGUCAGGAAACCGUAACCAUCUAUUGAUCAACGAGCUAGUCAACUAGAGGCUUACUAGGGACAUGGUGUUGUCUAUGUAUCCACACAUGUAUCUGAGUUUCCUAUCAAUACAAUUCUAGCAUGGAUAAUAAACGAUUAUCAUGAACAAGGAAAUAUAAUAAUAACCAAUUUAUUAUUGCCUCUAGGGCAUAUUUCCAACAGUCUCCCACUUGCACUAGAGUCAAUAAUCUAGUUCACAUCGCCAUGUGAUUAACACUCAUAGGUCACAUCACCAUGUGACCAACAUCCAAAGAGUUUACUAGAGUCAACAAUCUAGUUCACAUCACUAUGUGAUUAAACUCAAUGAGUUCUGGUUUGAUCAUGUUAUGCUUGUGAGAGAGGUUAUUAGUCAACCGGUCUGAACCUUUCAGAUCCGUGUGUGCUUUACGAAUAUCUAUGUCAUCUUGUGGAUGCUACCACGCGCUAUUUGGAGCCAUUUCAAAUAAUUGCUCUACUAUACGAAUCCGGUUUACUACUCAGAGCCAUCCGGAUUAGUGUCAAAGUUCGCAUCGACGUAACCCUUUACGACGAACUCCUUUUCACCUCCAUAAUUGAGAAAAUUCCUUAGUCCACUAGAUACUAAGGAUAAGUUCGACCGCUGUAAUGUGAUCCAUUCCCGGAUCACUAUUGUACCCUCUUGACCAACUCAUGGCAAGGCACACUACAUGUGCGGUACGCAGCAUAGCAUACUGUAGAGCCUACGUCUGAAGCAUAGGGGACGACCUUCGUCCUUUCUCUCUCUUCUGCUGUGGUCAGGUCUUGAGUCUUACUCAAUACUCACACCUUGUAACACAGCCAAGAACUCCUUCUUUGCUGACCUAUUUUGAACUCUUUCAAAAUCAUGUCAAGGUGUGUGUUCUUUGAAAGUAUCAUCGGGCGUCCUGAUCUAUCUCUAUAGAUCUUGAUGCCCAAUAUGUCAGCAGCUUUUAUCCAGGUCUUCCUUUGAAAAACUCCUUUCAAACAACCCUUUAUGUUUUCCAGAAAUUUUGCAUCAUUUCGGAUCAACAAUAUGUCAUUCACAUAUACUUAUCAGAAAUGUUGUAGCGCUCCCACUCACUUUAUUGUAAAUACAAGUUUCCAACAAACUUUGUAUAAACCCAAAAACUUUGGUCACUCCAUCAAAGCGUAUAUUCUGACUCCGAGAUGCUUGCUCUAGUCCAUGGAAGGAUCGCUGGAGCUAGCAUACCCUUUUAGCAUCCUUAGGAUCAACAAAACCUUUCUGAUUGUAUCACAUACAACCUUUCCUUACGAAAACUGGUAAGGAAACUUGUUUUGACAUCCAUCUGCCAGAUUUCAUAAAUGCAGCUUAUGCUAACAUGAUUCCGACGGACUUAAGCAUCGCUACGGAUGAGAAAAUCUCAUCGUAGUCAACUCCUUGAACUUGUGAAAAUAUAUUCUUUGCCACAAGUCGAGCUUCAUAGACGGUAACAUUACCGUCCAUGUUCGUCUUCUUCUUAAAGAUCCAUUUAUCUCAAUGGCUUGCCGAUCAUCGGGCAAGUUCACCAAAGUCCAUGAUUUGUUCUGAUACAUGGAUCCUAUCUCGGAUUUCAUGGCUUCUAACCGUUUUUCGGAAUAUGGGCCCACCAUCGCUUCUCCAUAGCUCGUAAGUUCAGUAUUGUCUAACAACAUGAUAUCUAAGACAGGAUUACCGUACCACUCAGGAGUAGUACAUAUCCUUGUCGACCUACGAGGUUUGGUAGUGACUUGAUCCGAAGUUUCAUGAUCACUAUCAUAAGCUUCCACUUCAAUUGGUGUAGGUGCCACAGGAACAACUUCCUGUGCCCUGCUACACACUAGUUGAAGUUAUGGUUCAAUAACCUCAUCAAGUCUCCACCAUCCUCCCACUCAAUUCUUUCGAGAGAAACUUUUCCUCGAGAAAGGACUCGUUUCUAGAAGCAAUUACUUUUGCUUCCAGAUCUGAAAUAGGAGGUAUACCCAACUGUUCUGGGUAUUCUUAUGAAGAUGUAUUUAUCCGCUUUGGGCUCGAGCUUAUCAGCCUGAAACUUUUUCACAUAAGCGUCGCAGCCCCAAACUUUUAAGAAACGACAACUUAGGUUUCUCUAAACGGUGUCGUCUCAACGGAAUUGCGUGGUACCCUAUUUAAAGUGAAUGCGGUUGUCUCUAAUGCCUAACCCAUAAACGAUAGUGGUAAUUCGAUAAGAGACAUCAUGGUAUGCACCAUAUCCAAUAGGGUGCAGUUAUGAUGUUCGGAGACACCAUCACACUGUGGUGUUCCAGGCGGUAUUAAUUGUGAAACACUUUCCACAAUGUCUUAAUUGUAUGCCAAACUCGUAACUCAGAUACUCAUCUCUAUGAUCAUAUCACAGACAUUUUAUCCUCUUGUCACGACGAUCUUCAACUUCACUCUGAAAUUACUUGAACCUUUCAAUAAUUCAGACUUGUGUUUCAUUAAGUAAAUACACUCAGCAUCUACUCAAAUCAUUUGUGAAGUAAGAACAUAACGAUAUCCACUGCAUGCCUCAGCACUCAUUGGACUGCAUACAUCAAAAUGUAUUACUUCCAAUAAGUUGCUCUCUUGUUCCAUCUUACUGAAAACGAGGACUUUCAGUCAUCUUGCCCAUGUGGUAUGAUUUUCAUGUCUCAAGUGAUUCAAAAUCAAGUGAGUCCAAACGAUCCAUCUGCAUGGAGUUUCUUCAUGCAUAUAUACCAAUAGACAUGGUUCGCAUGUCUCAAUCUUUUCAAAAACGACUGAGUCCAAAGAUCCAUCUACAUGGAGCUUCUUCAUGCGUUUUAUACCAAUAUGACUCAAAUGGCAGUGCCACAAGUAUGUGGAACUGUCAUUACUAUUUUAUAUCUUUUGGCACGAACAUGUGUAUCACUACGAUCGAGAUUCAUUUUAGGUGCAAGACCAUUGAAGGUAUUAUUCAAAUAAACAGAGUAACCAUUAUUCUCCUUAAAUGAAUAACCUUAUUGCGAUAAACAUAAUCCAAUCAUGCUCAACGCAAACACCAAAUCUCGAUGGUAGAGGGAGCAUGCGAUGCUUGAUCACAUCAACCUUGGAAACACUUCCAACACACAUCGUCAUCUCACCUUUAGCUAGUCUCCAUUUAUUCCGCAGCUUUUAUUUCGAGUUACUAACACUUAGCAACCGAACCGGUAUCUAAUACCCUGGUGCUGCUAGGAGUACUAGUAAAGUACACAUUCAUAUAAUGUAUAUCCAAUAUACUUCUAUCGACCUUGCCUGCCUUCUCAUCUACCAAGUAUCUAGGGUAGUACUGCUUCAGUGACCGUUCCCCUCAUUACAGAAGCACUUAGUCUCGGGUUUGGGUUCAACCUUGGGAUUCUUCACUAGAGCAGCAAACGAUUUGCUAUUUCAUGAAGUAUCCCUUUUGCCCUUGCCCUUCUAGAAACUAGUGGUUUUACUAACCAUCAACAAUUGAUGCUCCGUCUUGAUUUCUACUUUCGCGGUGUCAAACAUCGCGAGUUGCUCAAGGAUCAUCAUGUCUAUCCUUGAUAUGUUAUAGUUCAUCACGAAGCUCUACAAGCUUGGUGGCAGUGACUAUGGAGAACCAUCACUAUCUCAUCUGGGAGAUUAACUCCCACUCGAUUCAAGCGAUUGUAGUACUCAGACUAUCUGAGCACAUGCUCAACGAUUGAGCUUUUCUCCCUUAGUCUGCAGGCUUAAGAAACUUGUCUGAGGUCUCAUACCUCUUGACGUGGGCACUAGUCUGAAAUCCCAAUUUCAGUCUUCGGAACAUCUCAUAUGUUUUGCGACGUUUCAAAACCGUCUUUGGUGCCACAAUUCUAAACCGUUAGCAUUACGCACUGAACUAUCACGUAGUCAUCAAAACGUGUAUGUCAGAUGUUUCGCAACAUCUACAGACGACGCUGAGGUUCAGCACACCGAGCGGUGCAUUAAGGACAUAAGCCUUCUGUGCAGCAAUGAGGACAAUCCUCAGUUCACAGACCCAGUCCGCAUAAUUGCUACUACCAACUUUCAACUAAAUUUUUCUCUAGGAACAUAUCUUAAACAGUAGAACUAAAGUGUAUGACAUAAUUUGCAAAGACCUUUUGACUAUGUUCAUGAUAAUUGAGUUCAUCUGAUUAAUGAACUCCCACUCAGAUAGACAUCCCUCUAGUCAUCUAAGUGAUACAUGAUCCGAGUCAAACUAGGCCGUGUCCGAUCAUCACGUGAGACAGACUAGUCAUCAUCGGUGAACAUCUCCAUGUUGAUCGUAUCUUCUAUACGACUCAUGCUCGACCUUUCGGUCUCUUGUGUUCCGAGGCCAUGUCUGCACAUGCUAGGCUCGUCAAGUCAACCUAAGUGUUUCGCAUGUGUUCCGAGGCCAUGUCUGUACAUGCUAGGCUCGUCAACACCCGUUGUAUUCGAACGUUAGAAUAUAUCACACCCGAUCAUCACGUGGUGCUUCGAAACAACGAACCUUCGCAACGGUGCACAGUUAGGGGGAACACGUCUCUUGAAAUUUUUAGUGAGGGAUCAUCUUAUUUAAGCUACCGUCGUUCUAAGCAAAUAAGAUGCAUAACAUGAUAAACAUCACAUGCAAUCAAAUAGUGACAUGAUAUGGCCAAUAUCAUUUUGCUCCUUUGAUCUCCAUCUUCGGGGCACCAUGAUCAUCUUUGUCACCGGCAUGACACCAUGAUCUCCAUCAUCGUGAUCUCCAUCAUUGUGUCUUCAUGAAGUUGUCACGCCAACGAUUACUUCUACUUCUAUGGCUAACGCACUUAGCAAUGAAGUAAAGUAAUUUACAUGGCGUUAUUCAAUGACACGCAGGUCAUACAAAAAAUAAAGACAACUCCUAUGGCUCCUGCCGGUUGUCAUACUCAUCGACAUGCAAGUCGUGAUUCCUAUUACAAGAAUAUGAUCAAUCUCAUACAUCACAUAUAUCAUUCAUCACAUCUUCUGGCCAUAUCACAUCACAUAGCACAUGCUGCAAAAACAAGUUAGACGUCCUCUAAUUGUUGUUGCAAGUUUUUACGUGGCUUGUAUAGGUUUCUAGCAAGAACGUUUCUUACCUACGUAAAACCACAACGUGAUAUGCCAAUUUCUAUUUACCCUUCAUAAGGACCCUUUUCAUCGAAUCCGUUCCGACUAAAGUGGGAGAGACAGACACCCGCUAGCCACCUUAUGCAACUAGUGCAUGUCAGUCGGUGGAACCUGUCUCACGUAAGCGUACGUGUAAGGUCGGUCCGGGCCACUUCAUCCCACAAUGCCGCCGAAACAAGAUAAUACUAGUAGCGGCAAGAAGAAUUGGCAACAUCUAUGCCCACAACUGCUUUGUGUUCUACUCGUGCAUAGAAACUACGCAUAGACCUAGCUCAUGAUGCCACUGUUGGGGAACGUAGCAGAAAUUCAAAAUUUUCUACGCAUCACCAAGAUCAAUCUAUGGAGUUUACUAGCAACGAGAGGGAAGGAGUGCAUCUACAUACCCUUGUAGAUCGCGAGCGGAAGCGUUCAAGUGAAUGGGGUUGAUGGAGUCGUACUCGUCGUGAUCCAAAUCACCGAUGAUCCUAGCGCCGAACGGACGGCACCUCCGCGUUCAACACACGUACGGAGCAGCGAUGUCUUGUCCUUCUUGAUCCAGCAAGGGGGGAGGAGAGGUUUAUGGAGAUCCAGCAGCACGACGGCGUGGUGGUGGAAGUAGCGGGAUUCCAACAGGGCUUCGCCAAGCGCUGCGGGAGGAGGGAGGUGUGUCACGGGAGGGAGAGGGAGGCGCCAGGGCUUAGAUGUUGCUGCCCUCCCUUCCCCCCACUAUAUAUAGGGCCAAGGGAGAGGGGGGGCGCAGCCUUGGCCCUUCCUCCAAGGAAGGGUGCGGCCAGGGAGGAGUCCUUCCUCCCCAAGGCACCUCGGAGGUGCCUUCCCCCUUUAGGACUCUCCCUUUAUCUUAUCUCUUGGCGCAUGGGCCUCUUGGGGCUGGUUCCCUUGGCCCAUAUAGGCCAAGGCGCACCCCCCACAGCCCAUGUGCCCCCCGGGGCUGUUGGACCCCUUGGUGGACCCCCGGACCCCUUUCGGCACUCCCGGUACAAUACCGAUAAAGUGUGAAACUUUUCCGGCGACCAAAAUAAGACUUCCCAUAUAUAAAUAUUUACCUCCGGACCAUUCCGGAACUCCUCGUGACGUUAGGGAUCUCAUCCGGGACUCCGAACAACUUUCGGGUUACCGCAUACUAAUAUCUCUACAACCCUAGCGUCACCGAACCUUAAGUGUGUAGACCCUACGGGUUCGGGAACCAUGCAGACAUGACCGAGACGUUCUCCGGUCAAUAAACAACAGCGGGAUCUCGAUACCCAUGUUGGCUCCCACAUGUUCCACGAUGAUCUCAUCGGAUGAACCACGAUGUCGUGGAUUCAAUCAAUCCCGUAUACAAUUCCCUUUGUCUAUCGGUAUGCUACUUGCCCGAGAUUCGAUCGUCGGUAUCCCGAUACCUUGUUCAAUCUCGUUACCGGCAAGUCUCUUUACUCUUCCCGUAACACACAUCAUCCCGUGAUCAACUCCUUGGUCACAUUGUGCACAUUAUGAUGAUGUCCUACCGAGUGGGCCCAGAGAUACCUCUCCGUUUAUACGGAGUGACAAAUCCCAGUCUCGAUUCGUGCGAACCCAACAGACACUUUCGGAGAUACCUGUAGUGCACCUUUAUAGCCACCCAGUUACGUUGUGACGUUUGGUACACCCAAAGCAUUCCUACGGUAUCCGGGAGUUGCACAAUCUCAUGGUCUAAGGAAAUGAUACUUGACAUUAGAAAAGCUCUGAGCAAACGAACUACACGAUCUUGUGCUAGGCUUAGGAUUGGGUCUCGUCCAUCACAUCAUUCUCCUAAUGAUGUGAUCCCGUUAUCAACGACAUCCAAUGUCCAUGGUCAGGAAACCGUAACCAUCUAUUGAUCAACGAGCUAGUCAACUAGAGGCUUACUAGGGACAUGGUGUUGUCUAUGUAUCGACACAUGUAUCUGAGUUUCCUAUCAAUACAAUUCUAGCAUGGAUAAUAAACGAUUAUCAUGAACAAGGAAAUAUAAUAAUAACCAAUUUAUUAUUGCCUCUAGGCCAUAUUUCCAACAGUCUCCCACUUGCACUAGAGUCAAUAAUCUAGUUCACAUCGCCAUGUGAUUAACACUCAUAGGUCACAUCACCAUGUGACCAACAUCCAAAGAGUUUACUAGAGUCAACAAUCUAGUUCACAUCACUAUGUGAUUAAACUCAAUGAGUUCUGGUUUGAUCAUGUUAUGCUUGUGAGAGAGGUUAUUAGUCAACGGGUCUGAACCUUUCAGAUCCGUGUGUGCUUUACGAAUAUCUAUGUCAUCUUGUGGAUGCUACCACGCGCUAUUUGGAGCCAUUUCAAAUAAUUGCUCUACUAUACGAAUCCGGUUUACUACUCAGAGCCAUCCGGAUUAGUGUCAAAGUUCCGUUAGACAUAUGCCCGCAUUGCUAGACUUGAGUCCAUUCGCAUCUUACUUGCUUAUGCCAAUCACCAUGAUAUCACAUUAUAUCAAAUGGACAUUAAAAGCGCUUUUCCAAAUGGUGAAAUUGAGGAGGAAGUAUAUGUUAAACAACCUGCCGGCGUUUGUUAAUCCUAAGAAUCCCAAUCAUGUUUACAAACUUCACAAAGCUCUUUAUGGUCUUAAACAAGCUCCUAGAGCAUGGUAUAAAUGCUUGACUAAGUUCCUUAUUAAAAAGGCUUUGAGAUUGGAAAAAUUGAUUCUACACUUUUUACUAAAAGGGUUAAUGGUGAAUUAUUUGUGUGCCAAAUUUAUCUGGAUGAUAUCAUAUUUGGUUCGACUAACCCUCAUUUUAGUGAAAAGUUUGGAAAGCAAAUGUCGGAGAAGUCUGAGAUGUCUAUGAUGAGUGAACUCAAGUUCUUUCUUGGUUUCCAAAUCAAGCAAACUAAGGAGGGUACCUUUGUUUCCCAAACACAGUACACCAAGGACUUAUUCAAGAAGUUCAACAUGCAAGAAAGCGAAGGUAUGAAAACACCCAUGCCUACUAGUGGACAUCUUGACUUGACAAAGGAUGGCAAACCGGUUGACCAAAAGGUUUAUCGCUCUAUGAUUGGUUCAUUGUUAUAUCUAUGUGCCUCCCGUCCCGAUAUUAUGCUAAGUGUGUGCAUGUGUGCACAAUAUCAAGCGGCCCCUAAGGAAUGUUAUCUUAAGGCUGUGAAAAGGAUAGUGAGAUACUUAAUUCAUACACCAAAUUUUGGCAUUUGGUAUCCUAAGAGGUCUUAUUUUGUGUUGGGGAACGUAGUAAUUUCAAAAAAAUCCUAUGCACACGCAAGAUCAUGGUGAUGCAUAGCAACGAGAGGGGAGAGUGUUGUCCACGUACCCUCGUAGACCGAAAGCGGAAGCGUUAGCACAACGCGGUUGAUGUAGUCGUACGUCUUCACGAUCUGACCGAUCAAGUACCGAACGUACGGCACCUCCGAGUUCAGCACAUGUUCAGCUCGAUGAUGUCCCUCGAACUCCGAUCCAGUCGAGCUUUGAGGGAGAGUUCCAUCAGCACGACGGCGUGGUGACGAUGAUGAUGUUCUACCGACGCAGGGCUUCGCAUAAGCACCGCUACGAUAUUAUCGAGGUGGAUUAUGGUGGAGGGGGCACCGCACAUGGCUAAGAGAUCAAGAGAUCAAUUUGUUGUGUCUAUGGGGUGCCCCCCUCCUCCGUAUAUAAAGGGGGGAGGAGGAGAGGGCCGGCCAAGGGGAGAGGCGCGCCCAAGGGGGGGGGGGCAAUCCUACUCCAAGUAAGUUUGCCCCCCCUUUGCUAUUCCAACUAGGAGAAGGGGGAUGGAGGAGGUGGAGAGAAGGAAGGAGAAGGGGGGCCGCCGCCCCUUCCCUUUCCCAAUUCGGAUUGGGGCAAGGGGGCCGCGCGCCACCUCUUGGCCUCCCUCUCUCCUUUACACUAAGGCCCAUAAGGCCCCGGUACUCCGAUAAAUAUCCGAUAACCCCCGGAACCAUUCCGGUGUCCGAAUAUAGUCGUCCAAAAUAUCAAUCUUCAUGUCUCGACCAUUUCGAGACUCCUCGUCAUGUUCGUGUUCACAUCCGGGACUGCAAAGAUCCUUCGGUACAUCAAAACUCAUAAACUCAUAACAUAUCCGUCAUCGAACUUUAAGCGUGCGGACCCUACGGGUUCGAGAACAAUGUAGACAUGACCGAGACACGUCUCCGGUCAAUAACCAAUAGCGGAACCUGGAUGCUCAUAUUGGCUCCCACAUAUUCUACGAAGAUCUUUAUCGGUCAAACCGCAUAACAGCAUACGUUGUUCCCUUUGUCAUCGGUAUGUUACUUGCCCAAGAUUCGAUCGUCGGUAUCUCAAUACCUAGUUCAAUCUCGUUACCGGCAAGUCUCGUUACUCGUUCCAUAAUACAUCAUCCCACAACUAACUCAUUAGUUGCAAUGCUUGCAAGGCUUAUAGUGAUGUGCAUUACCGAGUGGGUCCAGAGAUACCUCUGCGACAAUCGGAGUGACAAAUCCUAAUCUCGAAAUACGCCAACCCAACAAGUACCUUUGGAGACACCUGUAGAGCACCUUUAUAAUCACCCAGUUACGUUGUGAUGUUUGGUAGCACAUAAAGUGUUCCUCCGGUAAACGGGAUUUGCAUAAUAUCAUAGUCAUAGGAACAUGUAUAAGUCAUGAAGAAAGCAAUAGCAGAAUACUAAAUGGUCGAGUGCUAAGCUAACAGAAUGGGUCAAUUCAAUCACAUCAUUCUCCUAAUGAUGUGAUCCCGUUAAUCAAAUGACAACUGAUGUCAAUGGCUAGGAAACAUAACCAUCUUUGAUCAACGAGCUAGUCAAGUAGAGGCAUAGUAGUGACACUCUGUUUGUCUAUGUAUUCACACAAGUAUUAUGUUUCCGGUUAAUAUAAUUCUAGCAUGAAUAAUAAAGAUUUAUCAUGAUAUAAGGAAAUAAACAAUAACUUUAUUAUUGCCUCUAGGGCAUAUUUCCUUCAUUUUGAUCUUCUUGGCUACUCCAAUUUGAACUAUGUCGGUGACAAGGUUGAUAGAAAGUCCACUUCGGGUACUUGUCAAUUUCUUGGUAGAUCUCUUGUGUCUUGGUCAUCCAAGAAACAAAACUCGGUAUCCUUAUCCACCGCCGAAGCGGAAUACAUUGCCGCUGGUUCAUGUUGUGCUCAAUUACUUUGGAUGACCCAAACUCUUAAGACUAUGGGAUAUAUGUGAAGCAUGUUCCAUUGCUUUGUGAUAAUGAAAGUGUUAGUAAGAUUGCUCACAAUCCCGUGCAACAUUCUCAAACUAAGCAUAUUGAAGUUCAUCAUCAUUUCAUUCGAGAUCAUGUUGCUAAAGGAGACAUCGAUCUUAAGCAUGUUUGUACCGAUAAGCAAUUGGUGGAUAUACUCACCAAACUGCUUGAUGAGAAAGUAUUUUGCCGUUUGAGAGGUGAAUUGAACAUCAUUGAUGCCUCAAACUUGGAGUAUAAACUCCAUUUGGAUACAUGCAAGGCAUGACUCUUUGACUAAUGCUUGAUAUUUCUCUUAUGAUGAUGAUCAUAUUUCUUGGAUCUAUACUUGUACCCUUGCAUGUCAUCUAACCCUGUAGGUACUUGGAUGAAUCCAAAUCUAUGAGAUUGCAACUCUCUCUCACAUCUUGAGCAAUCUCUACAUCACCAAGUCUCUACAAUAUGGUGGUUGAAGACAAGGAAGCAUGAAUCCUUUCAACAUAUCCUUUGACAAUUUCAAUAUAUCGAAUCUCAUUUGAUAUCAAAUUUCAUGUUUGUCAUUUUGGAUACACAAGUGCUCUUCCUUGCAAAACUAACCCAUGUAGGUAGAUGAACUCAAACUACAAGUGGUGCUCCCAACUCUUGAUGAACUACAUCAUCCUUGAGCAUCCAACACAAGUUUGACUACAUGAUCUAGAUGAACACCACCACCCAAGGUAUGAUAUUCCAUCUUAGAGAAGCUUUACCCCAAGACAUGGGUCAAAGCAUCUCAACAAGAUGUGAAUACAUCAAAAUGCUUAAACGAAAAAUGGUAACCCCAUUUUGAGCUUAAACGAUGAGUAUGACCUACGAUCAAGUGUUCUCACUUGACUCCUCAGUCAAUAUACACUAACAUAGGUGACUUUGUCACCGACCAAUUCUAGAUGAAGUUCUCUAGUAUUUCUAUGUGUUCUUGCAUUUGUCUCUUGCUUGCUUGUUCCCUUUAUCUAGGAAACUUCAUCUAGAUUUCAUUUCUUUGUCUGUCAUUUUCUGCAUUCCCUGUUGGGGAUAUAACUAUUGGGUAUGACCCGCCCAGGAGGGGCCGGGUUAUACCAAUGGCGGUUCAUCAAGACGAAGCCCAAAGGCGACUUAAGGCCCAUAGUGUAAACCGCCAUAUGUAUGUGUGACUUGUAUUGUAAGGCAUGAGUAGUUAGUCGCCUAGCCGGACACGUUGUAUAAGCCGGUCGGGAUUCCAUGAGCUGCUGGGCGUCAACCUGUGUAUAUAAAGGGACGACCCGACGGCGGUUUAGGGACAAGAAACAACAGAUCGAGAACUAGGUCAAGCGUAGUCGCUCCCUGGUAAUCGAAACCCAAGCAAUACCACCACAAACUGGACUAGGACUUUACCUUCACAGCAAGGGGCCGAACCAGUAUAAACUCAUGUGUCCUUUGUCCCGUUUAACCCCUUUAAGCUAACCCAGUUGCGAUGGCUCCACGACUAAGUCCUUCUGCUAGGACAUCUGCCGUGACAAUUCCACGACAGUUGGAGCCCACCGUGGGGCCAGCGCACGGUGGUUUCAAGUUCUUGAAUGGCAGCUUCGAAGGGAUCAAGGGAUACGCCGUGGGCCGGAUGACCAAGAGUCUUCGCGGCAAGCUCUACAUCAACGAUGCAGGCUGGGUCCCCGAGGCUGGCUAAAUCAUGUACGGGUAUCGGGUCCCCUUUGGCGGAAUCCACGUCUUCAUCGGCAAGAUCGGCGAACCGGGCCUUGAGCCGGACAUCUGCACCGACAUCGUCGAGACGGCUCAGCGUGCACGACCUGCCUGAGUUCAACCUGCCGUGAAGCGUGCCUUCGUCGGUUUCAUCCAUGGGGCGGAGAUUGAAGAUGGAUCUGCAUCUGGCGGUGAGACGACCAUCUAUUAUGAUGGUGAGUCAUCCACAGGCGAGACCAACUCAUUGUAUCAACUGGAAGACGGCCGGCUUGGGGGCAAUUCCGAUGGUGACAGCAUUCUGGACCCCUAUAAGCCGCCGAACAGGGUUGCGAUCUUCAUGGCCGGUACACAACCGUUGCUCGGUUCAACAACCGCCGCGGCUAUGACCUCCAGUUCAAUGGCUGCGACAGUGGCUGGUGCUAGCGGCUCUACGCGCCCGCCGGCUCAAGUUCUCACCGAAUUGUUGGAGGCUCUGGCGACUCUGAUGGAGGUAGGAGUAACCCCAGACAACCAGGAACAACACAAGGUAGAUGUGGCUAAGCUGCGAGGUGAGAUAGCUCAAGCCAAGGAAGAGCUAGCGGCUGAGAGCGCUAAGAUGGCUGCAGAACAGGCUGUUUUGGAGGCUCAGGCACAGCGGAUCCAAGCCGAUUCCUGCCGGCUCAUGUUGGAUCAGAACGCUUCCAAUGAAGUCAUGAGGAGGAGACAGCGGAGUCGUCUGCCUCCGAUUUACAAGACGAGGAACCUCUUCAACACGCGUGGCACAGGGACCAGUGACCCUGGGGGUGGAGCGCCGGUUCAGCCACGAGUGAUGGGCUCUCCUCGUGUGAACCAUACCACGCCUCAGCAUGUUUUGACGCCGCCGGGUCAUUAUUCCAACCCCUUAGACAAUAUGAUUGCUGCGGCAACACGAUUGGCGGCCCUGCCAGUUGAGGGUGAGUUUCCGACAACGGUUGAAACGUGGAAGGCCAGAGAACUUCUUCAGACGGCAUUGGAGCAGCAAGCGGCUUAUUCUUAUAGUCGUGAGCGGAUUCAGUCAACCCCUCGACAAAGCUGGAGUUACAGCAGGCACAUUGACUCGCCAGCGCUUUCAAGUCCAGAACAGCGCCGUAACCAACCCCAUGGACAUGACCCGACGCACGAUGGUGCCAAUGCCCAGACUUUGGUGGAUCAGGGCAGAGCACGGGGAGGCCGAGCUGGCGGCUCAUCAACACGCGUCAGCUUACCCAAUGACUUCGGUGGAGGCGGGCAUGAACUCCAGAACCUUGGGUGUGCCAUGUUUAGUGUCGGCUCUACGUAACGAGCGUCUACCCAAGGAUUUCAAGGGUCCUCGUAAGGUGCCUAAUUACACAGCAGAUCAGCCCCCUGAAGCUUGGGUGGAGAGUUAUGAGAGGGCCAUGGAGAUGCUAGAUCUUAGUGAAGCAGCAUGCGCUAAGUAUUUCACCAUGAUGUUAGAAGGGCCAGCUCGUACAUGGUUGAAGGGGCUGCCCGCCAACUCCAUUGGGUCAUGGGCGGAGCUGAAGGCCCGUUUUACUCAAAAUUUCAAAGAUAUGUGCAAGUAGCCUAUGCCAAUCGUGGAUUUAGUCUCUUGUGUUCAAGGUGAGGGCGAGUCAACAACCAGCUGGGUGCGUCGGGUCUCAACUAUCAUACACUCAUCAGAUAGUAUUAACGUCGGCUCAGCAGUUUUAAUGUUGGAGAAAAGUUGUCAUUUCCUCCCUCUCAAACAGAAACUUGGGCAGCUUAAGCGCCAUUGCAGUGACAUGGGGGAGCUCAUGGCGGCCCUUGUCAAGUAUGCCGACUCUGAUGGUACCAAGGACGCCGAGUCUGAUGAUGAAAGGACGGGCAAGGGAAAGAAGAGUAGAGGCAUGAAAGGGCAGCAACACAACUCGGCUAGUCAGGGUGGCAAUGGCAAAUGCAGAGCUGAAGAGAAUCUAGAUUUCGUGGCCAACAUUGGUAUGCAAAAUAGUAACCAGCGGCACAAAGGGAUGCCGGCUCAGUCUAGAGGCUCAUAACUCGACCUUGAGGCGAUGAUGAAUCAGCCGUGUCUGAGGCAGGGAACACGUGAGCGACCAUCGGCCCAUUUGUGGAACGAUUGUUAUAUCAUGAGAGAGUUCAGGGAUUCUCAUAUUUUCCAGCAUAACCAUGGCCCGAAUGGCGGUUCAGGGUCCGGCCCUCAUGGUCCGGGUCAUGGAGGGGGCGGUUCAAGUUCCGGUUUUCAAGGUCAAGGUAAUCAGGGUGGUUACAACCAACAGAAUAAUCAGGGGAAUCAGCAGCAGCAGUCUGGUUAUCAUAGUAACCCAAAGCAAUUGAGUAGUGGGCAAUACCACGUCUUCACCACAAGUUUAUGUAAGCGGGAUCAGAAGCUUCAUAAAAGGGCAGUGAACGUUGUUGAGCCUGCGGUGCCCCGUUAUCUGCGAUGGUCUGAACACCCCAUUCUCUAGAUCUGUGAGGAUCACCUGCCCCGGGUUGAUAAUCCAGGUCACUUGGUGCUGGUGGUGGCGCCUCAGGUUGGAGGAUAUAAAUUCACCAAGGUGCUCAUGGAUGGAGGCAACAGCAUCAAUAUCCUCUACUAGGAAACUUUUCGUCACAUGGGAUUGACCGACAAAAACCUUAAGCCGUCAAACAUUGUUUUUCAUGGUGUGGUGCCUGGUAAGUCGGCAUAUCCAGUUGGUAAAAUAUCUUUGGAGGUUGCUUUUGGAGAUGAGUAUGAUUCCAGAUCUGAGACGUUGACCUUUGAAGUGGUUAAAAUCAAGAGCCCUUAUCAUGCUCUGUUUGGGCGGCCGGCUUAUGCUAAGUUCAUGGCAAGGCCUUGUUAUGUUUAUUUGCAGCUGAAGAUGCCGGGUCACAAGGGCACUAUAAUAGUGCAUGGGAGUCGCAAGAUAACCUUGGAGUGUGAAGAAGGCGAUGCCGCUUAUGCUGAGUCUGUUUGUGCAACAGAGGAGUUGAAAUUUUACAAAGAUAAUGUUGACCCGGCGGAUAUGACAUCUUUGAAGAAGCCAGCCCUAGAGCAUGACCCCUUGUUGAAGUUUAAGUCGGCAUCCUGGCAACUCAUCCAAGCAGUUCAGUAUCAGUGCUAAUUUGGAUCCAAAAUAGGAAAGCGCGCUCAUCGGGUUCAUCCAUGAGAACCGGGACAUCUUUGCAUGGAAACUGUUGGCGAUAUAACUACUAGGUAUGACCCGCCCAGGUGGGGUCGGGUUAUACCAACGGCAGUUCAUUGACACGAAGCCCAUGAAGGAAUCAAAGAUGGCGUUCAUGAGGAUGACUUAUGAAGAGCCCAAGGCCCAAAGGCGGCUUAAGGCCCAUAGGUGUAAACCGUCAUAUAUGCAUGACUUGUAUUCUAAGACAAGUGUAAUUAGUCACCGGGCCGGACACGAUUAUGAGCCGGCCGGGACUCUGUAAGUCGCAGGGCAUCAACUUGUGUAUAUAAAGGGACGACCCGGCGGCAGUUUAGGGCAAGAGACAACAGAUCGAAAGCUAGGUCAAGCGUAUUCGCUCCCUGGUAAUCGAGGCAUAAGCAAUACCACCUCAAACUGGAUUAGGCCUUUACCUUCACCGCAAGGGGCCGAACCAGUAUAAAUCCUGUGUCCUUUGUCACGUUUAACCCCUUUAAGCUAACCUAGUGCGAUGGCUCCACGACUAAGUCCUCACACUAGGACAUCUGCCGUGACAAUCCCACGACAGUUGGCGCCCACCGUGGGGCCAGCGCAUGGUGGUUUCGAGUUCUUACAGGUUGAAGCGAUCAAAGGAUACGCCGUGGGCCGGAUGACCAAAAUUCGUCGCGGCAAGCUCUACAUCGACGACGCAGGCUGGGGCCCCGAGGCCGGCUCAAUCUAGUAUGGGUACCGGGUCCCCUUCGGCAGAAUUCAUGUCUUCACCGGCAAGAUCGGCGAACCGGGCCCUGAGCCGGACACCUGCACCGACAUCAUCGAGACGGCUCAGCAUGCACGACCCGCCCGGGUUCAACCCGCCGUGAAGCGCGCCUUUGUUGGAUUCAUCCAUGGGGGAGAAUUUGAGGAUGGAUCCAUGUCUGGCGGUGAGACAACCAUCUAUUCUGAUGGUGAGUCGUCCACAGGCGAGACUACGUCAUUGCAUCAACUGUAGGACGGCAAGCUUGGGGGCUGUUCCGAUGGCGACAGUAUUCGGGACCCCUAUGAGCCGCCGAACCGGGUCGCGAUUUUCAUGGCCGGUACGCAAUCAGUGCAAAAUUCUUCGACUGCAGCGACAAUGGUUUCCGGGUCAGCAACGGUGACGGCAGCCGGGGCAGGAGGUCAUGCGCGCCCGCCGACUCAGGUCUUGUCUGACUUAUUGGACACUUUGACAACAUUGUUGACAGCAGUGGUUAACCCGACAAAUCAAACUCAGCAUAACGCGGAAGUUGCAAAGCUACGGGAUGAGAUAGCUCAGGCCAUGGAAGAUUUGGCAGCUGAGAACACAAGGAUGACUAUGGAGCGAGCUGCUCUAGAUGCUCAUGCACAACGGAUCCAGGCUGAUUCCUUCCGGCUCUCGUUGGAUCAGAAUGCUUCGAACGAAGUCCUGAGGAGAAGGCACCGAAGUCGUCUGCCUCCGGUUUACGAGGCGAGGAACCUCUUCAACACACCUGGUGCGGGGACCAGUGACCCGCUAGGGGUAAACCGGGCAGUAGCCGCGCCUGGGAAUGGAGCGCCAGCUCAACCACGCACGACGGACCCGCCUUGUCAGAAUAAUAUCCCACCACAACAUGUGCCGACACCACUGGGUCAUUAUGCUAACCCUUGGAUAACAUGAUCACUGUGGCAUCGCGAUUGGCGGCUCUCCCAGUUAAAGACGAGUCUCCAGCUGCGGUUGAAACGCGGAGUGCUAGAGAACUUCUUCAGACGGCAUUGGUGCAGCAGGAGGCUUAUUCUUACAGUCGUGAGAGGAUCCAUUCAACCCCUCGCCCAAGCCAGAGUUAUAGCAGACACAUGGACUUCCCGGCGGUGUCAAGCAGUGAGCAGCAUCGUAACCCGCCCUGUAAUACUCAGGCCCUAAUGGAUCAGGAUAGAGCACAUCGGGAGGCUGAGCUGGCGGCUCAGUACGCGGCUCAUCAACCAUCUCUGGUUUAUCCGACAACUUUGGUGGAAGCAGGCGUGACCUCUAGAAGCACGGGUGUACCAUGUUUAGUGCCAUCUCUGCGAAAUGAGCGUUUGCCCAAGGAUUUCAAAGGACCUCGUAAGGUGCCCAACUACACAGCCGACUUACCCCCUCAGGCGUGGAUUGAGAGUUACGAGAUGGCCAUGGAGCUGCUGGAGGUUAGCGAUGUUGCAUGUGCCAAAUGCUUCACCAUGAUGCUGGAUGGGACAGCUCGUACUUGGUUAAAAGGGUUGCCUGCCAAUUCCAUCGGGUUGUGGGCCGAGUUUAAAGCCCGGUUUAUCCAGAAUUUGAAGGAUACGUGCAAGCAGCCCAUGUCGAUUGUGGAUUUCGAUGCCUGCACCCAAGAAGAGGGCGAGUCAACAACCCUUUAGGUGCGACGGGUCAAAGCCAUCUUGCACUCAUCGGAUAACAUCAAUGCCGGCUCAACAGUCCUCAUGUUAGAGAAGAAUUGCUGUUUUUUGCCUCUUAAACAGAAGCUAGGGCGGCUCAAGUGCCACUGCAAUGAUAUGGGGGAGCUGAUGGCCACUCUAAUUAAAUAUGCCGACUCUGAUAGUACCAAGGACCUCGAGUCUGAUGAUGGAAAGCCGGGAAAGGGAAAGAAGAGUGGCAACACCAAGGGUCAGCAUCGUAACCCGGCAAGCCAGGGGGCAAUGGUAAGCGCAAGGCCGAUAAUAAUUCAGAUUUUGUGGCCAAUACCAAUACGCAGAAUAAUGGUCAGCGUCGCAAGGGGAAGCCACCUCCUCGGGCAGGAGGGUCAGGUCUCAAUCUCGAGCAGAUGCUGAAUCAGCCCUGCCCAAAGCAUGGUUCGCGAGAAAGACCGUCCAGUCACCUUUGGAAGGACUGCUACAUUAUGAAGGAUUUCAAAAAUUCUAUUUUAUUCCAGAACAAUCAUGGGCCAAGCGGUGUCUCAGGUUCCGGUGGUGGCAGUUCUCAUGGCCCGGGUUACGGUGGUGGCGGUUCUAAUUCCGGUUUCCAUGGUCACCCAGGCAAUCAAGGCAAUCAGAGUGGUUAUCAUCAACAAUCCGGCCAGGGAAAUCAGCAAUAGCAAUUUGGGUAUCAGAGUAACCUGAAACAGUUGAAUAGUGGGCAGUACCACGUCUUCAGCACAAGUUUAUGCAAGCGGGAUCAAAAGCUCCAUAAAAGGGAAGUGAACACCGUUGAGUCGGCAGUUCCCCGUUACUUGUGAUGGUUUGAGCAUCCCAUUGUGUGGAGUCGUGAGGAUCACCCGCCCCAGGUUGAUAAUCCGGGUCACUUGGCUUUACUGGUGGCGCCUCUGGUUGGAGGAUAUAAAUUCACUAAGGUACUCAUGGAUGGAGGUAGCAGUAUAAAUAUCCUUUAUUAUGAAACUUUCCAUCGCAUGGGAUUGACUGAUAAAAAUCUUAAACCGUCGAACACUGUCUUUCAUGGUGUGGUGCCUGGUAAGUCGGCAUACCCGGUUGGUAAAAUAGCCCUGGAGGUUGCUUUUGGAGAUGAUUAUGAUUCCAGAUCUGAGACGUUGACCUUCAAAGUAGUCAAGAUUCAGAGUCCGUAUCACGCUCUAUUUGGACGGUCGGCUUACGCCAAGUUCAUGGCACGUCCCUGUUAUGUUUAUCUGCAGCUCAAAAUGCCAGGUCACAAGGGAACUAUCACAAUGCAUGGAAGCCGGAAGAUAGCUCUGGAGUGUGAAGGAGAUGCGGCUUAUGGUGAGUUUGUCUGUGCAACAGAGGAAUUGAAGUUUUCCAAAGAUAAUGGUGACCCGGCAGAUAUGACAUCUUUGAAGAAGCCAACUACGGAGCAUGAACCGGACUUGAAGUUUAAGUCGGCGGAUGACACCAAGCUAGUUGAUUUCGUUCCUGGCGAUUCAUCCAAUUCAUCCAAGAAGUUCAGCAUGAGUGCUAAUCUGGAUCCAAAAUAGGAAGGCGUGCUCAUCGAGUUCAUCCGUGAGAAUCGGGACAUCUUUGCAUGGAAACCUUCUGACAUGCCGGGUGUACCGAGGGAACUCGCUCAGCACACUUUUAAUAUUGAUCCAGAUUUUAAGCCGGUCAAGAAAUUUCUUCGUCGUUUUAAUGAAGAGAGGCAUAAAGCCAUUGUUGAAGAAGUGGCCCGGCUCUUGGCGGCUUGAUUCAUCGUUGAAGUUUUUCAUCCUGAGUGGUUGGCUAACCCGGUGCUAGUGCUUAAGAAGAACGGCACUGGGCAUAUGUGUGUGGAUUACACGGACUUAAAUAAAGCUUGUCCGGCUGAUCCUUUUGCUCUCCCUUGUAUUGGUCAAAUUAUUGAUGCGACGGCGGGUUGUGAGCGUUUGAGCUUUCUAGAUGCUUAUUCUGGUUAUCAUUAGAUCAAAAUGGUAGUUAAGGACCAGGAGAAGACAGCUUUCAUUACUCCGUUUGAAGCCUUCUGCUAUGUGUCCAUGCCUUUUGGGCUCAAGAGUGCCCAGGCGUCUUACCAACGGUGUGUGCAAAAUUGCCUUCAUAAUCAAAUAGGGCAUAAUAUUCAUGCUUAUGUGGCUGACAUUGUGGUGAAAUCCAGAAAGAAGGAAACCCUGAUUGAUGAUUUGAAAGAGACCUUUGAUAAUCUCCUGGUUUAUAAGAUGAUGCUUAACCCGGCCAAGUGUGUUUUUGGUGUACCAGCUGGUAAGCUUUUGGGUUUUCUGGUUUCCAAGAGAGGCAUUGAAGCUAACCCGGAGAAGAUCAAGGCCAUUACUUCCUUGGCUAAGCCGACAUGUGUCAAUGAUGUUGAACGUCUGGCAGGUCAUAUUGCCGCCUUAAGCCGGUUCAUAAGCUGGUUGGGUGAAAAGGCUAUACCGCUGUACCAGAUGAUGAAUAAAACAGAUCACUUUGUCUGGAGUGAUGCUGCUAAUCAAGCAUUUGAGGACAUGAAGAAACAGUUGGCCGAGCCGCCCGUUCUGGCUGCUCCCAUUGAUAAAGAUCCUUUGCUGUUAUAUGUGGCUGCCAACAGUCGAGUUGUUAGUGUUGCCAUUGUGGUGGAAAGAAAGGAAACAGGCAAAGAAUAUCCGGUUCAAUGGCAGGUUUACUAUAUCAGUGAGGUCCUUACUGAGUCCAAACAGAGGUAUCCACAUUGGCAGAAGCUUGUGUAUGGGGUUUUUAUGGCUAGCUGGAAGCUUAAGCAGUAUUUUCUGGGUCAUCCUAUCAUUGUGGUUAGUUCUGCCCCCUUAGGGGAUAUCAUUCAAAACAGAGAAGCCACAGGUCGGGUAGCCAAGUGGGCCAUUGAGCUUCGACCUCAUGGUUUAAAGUAUGUGCCCCGUACAGCCAUCAACCACUUGUGGAUUUGAUCAAUGAUUGGACAAAAUUGCAGAUGCCUGAGGAGAAGUCGGAUAACACAUAUUGGACUAUUCACUUUGAUGGGUCCAGGCAGUUGGAAGGCUCGGGGGCUGGAGUUGUAUUAACCUCCCCACAAGGUGAUAAAUUUUCUUAUGUUCUCCGGCUUAUGUUCCCUUGUACUAACAAUGCAGCUGAGUAUGAGGCCUUGCUCCAUUAUCUUCGGAUGGCUAAGGAGAUGAACUUAAGCUGGGUGAGGUGUUUCGGCGACUCAGAUCUAGUGGCUCAACAAGUUUCUGGAACUUGGGAUUCUAAGGACCCACUAAUGGGGCUUAUCAUCGAGAGGUUGAUGCUAUUGCGGGUCACUUUAAAGGUUAUCAAGUUGAACAUGUUGAUUGCAGGAAAAAUGAGGCGGCUAAUGCUUUAAGCCGGUUAGGGUCUCAGCAUAAGCCGGUGCCACCUAACACUUUCCUGGAUAUUCUGCAUAACCCUUCUGUGAAAUUGCCUACAGAGGAAGAUCUGGCUAUUCCUGACCCGGAAGCACAAUUGGUGACAGCUCUUCAUGCGAUUCCUGAUUGGACAGUUCCAUAUUUGGCUUAUAUGACCCGGGGCGAGUUACCUGAGGAUGAAACUUUGGCCAGGCAGAUAACCCGGCUGUCCAAGUCAAUGACUAUUGUUCAUGGUGAGUUGCAUCAUCGCAGUGUCAUAGGGACGUUUCAACAUUGUGUUUCUCCAGAGGAGGGCCGUGAGAUUCUGCAUGAAAUUCAUGAAGGCGAUUAUGGCCAUCAUGCCGGCUCUAAGUCUCUUGUGGCUAAGGCUUUUCGUCAUGGAUUUUGUUGGCUGACGGCUCACGCUGAUGCUGAGGAUCUAGUCACUAAAUGUGAUGGUUGUCAGAAAUUCUCCCGACAAGCUCAUGUGCCGGCUCAAGAAUUGAGGAUGAUUCCAAUUACUUGGCUGUUUGCAGUCUGGGGGCUCGAUAUGGUUGGACCUUUCAAAAGGUCCAAAGAUAAAAAGACACACCUCCUGGUGGCAGUUGACAAAUUUACAAAGUGGGUUGAGGCAGGGCCGGUCAGUAAAUGUGACGCAGCGACGGCGGUUCAAUUCAUCAAAAAGGUGAUAUUCCGUUUUGGCUUUCCCCACAGUAUCAUAACUGAUAAUGGCACUAAUAUAUCCAAGGGUGCUAUGAAAGAGUUUUGUCAACUUGAGCAUAUUCGACUUGAUGUAUCGUCCGUGGCUCACCCCCAAUCCAAUGGUCAAGCUGAGAGAGCCAAUCAAGAAAUUUUGAGAGGCAUCAAGCCCCAGCUUAUGGUUCCUCUACAAAGGACGCCGGGUUGUUGGGUGGAGGAGUUACCUUCCGUGUUAUAGAGUAUCAAUACUACCCCCAACAGAUCUACGAGUUACACGCCCUUCUUCAUGGUUUACAGAGCAGAGGCGGUUCUCCCUAGUGACAUCCGUUUUGACUCGCCCCGUGUGGCGGCUUAUGUUGAAGCUGAGAAUGAAAAAGCACGUCAGGAUGCACUUGAGUUGUUAGAUGAGGAGCGUGACAUCGCGGCGGCUCGUUCGGCGAUUUACCAGCAAGAUCUGCACCGUUAUCACAGUCGCCGGGUUAAAACCAGAACUUUUCAAGAAGGUGACCUGGUGCUCCGGCUUAUUCAGGAUCAGACUGAUAUGCAUAAACUAUCCCCACCUUGGGAAGGGCCUUUUGUGGUCAGCAAGAAUUUGAAUAAUGGAUCAUACUACCUUAUCGAUGUUCGAGACCACAAGGACUCAGGCACGUCGGAGGAGGAGAUCCGUCGGCCGUGGAAUAUUGCUCAUCUUCGGCCUUACUACACUUGAGCCACCGGCUCUUACACUGUACAUAUUUCGACCAUGUAUAUAUUGUGAUAAUUAUAAUAAAACCGGCAUCCAUGACAAUGCAGGGCCUUUGUUGUUUCGUUUCCAAGUGUAACGAGUCUUUUUAAUUCUAAUGGUCACUUGGGGGCUUCCUGAUCAUUGAGCACACCUGUGAAUAUCCCUCUUGAUCGGCUCAAUGCCACAUCACUAAAUGGUCACUUGGGGGCUUCCUGCUCAUCGAGCACAGCUGUGAAUAUACCUCUUGAUCGGCGGAACGCCACAAAGCACUCGGGGGCUUCCUAUUCAAACAUAGGUGUAUUCACCAAAGAGAACAUAGCGUUACUACCCUUGUGAGCUGGGUUGGAACACGAGGUGUAUUCACCAAAACAUUCCGGGUUCUCCUGCUUUGUAGAGUCUGCCACUCCGCCCUGGUAAUCCCGGAAUGACAAGGCGAACUCUUGACAAGUCAAUCUUACAUAGACCCUAAACUUGUGAACUCUUGACAGGUCAAUCUUACAUAGACCCUGAACUUGUCUAGGUUAAAACGGCGGUCAUGUGAGGCCGGAUUCACAAAGUUUAAAAGGAUAACUCAGUGUCUUGGCGGCCCAUGAAAGCCUCAGAGCUUUAGGCUUGGCGGCCUAUGAAAGCCUCAUUUUCUUGCUUUGAUUCCUUUUUUGAACAUUUUUGGGUUCAUCUUGACAUAUGAUUUAAAAUGAUUCAGGCCAUGUAGCCUCAAUUCUUACUGCUCAUAUUUGAGUAUAUCUGUGGUUUCUGAUAACCCGGCCUAGCUUUGGAGGAUAAGUCGCUAGUAUAUGAUGAUAUUAAUACUUGGAAAUAUUGUCUUCUAAGUUUUGGGUUAUUACCCUUAUUGCAUUGAUAUGGUAAGCCGGCAGUUUAAUCACAUAUCACAGGUAUGAUAUUUUUGAUUAUAUCUAAUUAUGAUUGAAUCGACCCUGGUUAUGCACUGUUUUAGUCACCGGUGGUUUUAUAUGGGGUAUUAUGAACCGUUUUGCGGUAAACCGCCAGGGCACUUGUGAUUUACUUGUGUGCAGGGUAAUGAUUAAUCUCAUCUGCAUAAACUGACGUCAUCAUACAAAAUGGUAGCUUUCCAAAUGGUGGAUCAAACAGUGUUGUGCAAAAUAAAAACGUGCACGAUGGCACAACAGAUCAAAGUUUCACUAGCCUAUUACAUGACUCAGUGAGCCAAAAAAGAUCAAGUGUUUUCAGAAGUUCAAAUAUUUUAACCGCCCAGCGGAUCAAUCUUCUUCGUCCUGACGACUUGAAGCCUCUGGAUCAUCCUUCUCCGGUUCUUCGUCCUCCUCCGCCGUUUGAAAGUUUGGUGAUGACCAAUCAAUGCCACAUAAGGCAUGGAAUUCAGCUUCAUCAUCUAUAAGGUCGGAUAGGUCAAAUUCAGGGGCGAAAGUAUGCUUACGGAUUGGGGGUGCCAGAUUCAUCACCUUAUAAGCCGGCGUGGGGAUCUUCUGAUUCUCUGCAUCAUAAGCCGGCUGAUAUUUUGAUAGAUUUGUCUCAUCACAGAGUCGCCAGACGAGGUAUUUCUUUCACACAGAUAGCAAAGUCCUUUUGAUCAAAUGAAGUGUCAUCCUCUUUCAAGCUUGGAUAUCCAGUAGCUACCUCAGCCAGCUCUAGCUCUGGUAACCAUGCCUUAGCCUGUCUUAGAGCUGUCACGACCCCGGCUCCUGCAGAUGAAUGCUUUAUCUUUUCAAUCCUAGAAGGCAGAAUAGAGAGUUUUUUCAAGACAUCACUCAAGAGAGUAGGUGCUUGGUUAGUCGGAGAUAUCGUGGCCAGUGCGCACUGAGUUCCAGUAUAUAGCUGUUCAACAAGUGUAUAAAUAGCCUUGAGCUUCACAAGCAUUUCUUUGCUAAGAUUGCUGCUCCUGGGACCUGAGUAAUAAUCAUCGAUUGGUUAGAGGCAGUUUAUACCAUCAAGGAAGAGAUUUAAUUUUGAUGUUAGCAAGACGACUCACCAAAGAUAGCAGAAACCAUCUGGGAUACACGGUAAUUUAAACCGGUAAGCUCAGUGGUUACCUCUUGAAGAGCCGCCUCCGCCUUUUCAGCCUGCUGCGUCAAGGCAGUUUUCUCUUCAGCCCAGGCAUUUCUUUCAACCUCAAAGUUGGUCUUCAGUUUUUCCAUCUCAGCAACGCUAAAUUGGAAUUUUGAAUCGGCUUUCCGGGUCUCAGAUUCUUGAUUCUCAAGCCGGGUCUUUGCAUCAGCUAAUUGUGAUUGAAGUUCAGCAGUAGCAUCCUGUACAAGAACAGAGUUGCAAACACAUUCAUAUCCGGGUUAUAGCAAUAUAAGUCCCAAGCCUUUUGCAAGCAAAAACACAUGGCACUUGGGGGCUAAUGCCUGCCGAAAAAUUCUUCAUACAACGGCUCAUGUGAAUAAGUCCCAAGCACUUUGCAAGCAAGAGUACUUGGCACUUGGGGGCUAAUUCAUACCGCUGGCAUCUCUUUACUACUUUAUGAUGACCCAGUUGUGUCGUAAACAAUCACAACCGGUUCAUGGGGGCUAUACAGGUAAGCUCUCUUUUAUGAACAAUGGUGAACAGGACCGGCUCAUUCAUGCUGAUUAAACCGGCCCUUGGGGACUACGGAUGCAAUGUUAAUUGUUUGAAAUCCGGUUCAACUAUAAAUGUGAAAGCCCGCCUUGGAAGGAUUCUACAAAAGAUGCUCAUGGUUAUUCUAAGUCUACAUCAUAUUCAAUCUUAUCAUACCCAGUAGACUUGGGGGCUGGCAGGAUAUACAUAACUUAUUUAAGCAGGAAUUCAUACCUCAUAUUUUUGAUGCAUCUCCUUCACCACAUCGAUUUCAAGAUCGCGGCUGGUGUGUACUUGGUUGAGGUAGCCAGAGAGUACUUCACUACUACUCAAUUGAGAAUAGUGGGCGGCAUCAAAUCUCACUUUCCACUUUUCAAUGAACUCCUAUUUAGCGGAGUGCUUAGCCAAGACAGUUGGAUUUCCCGGUUCUCUAAAGCCGGUGCCAGAGAUCAUAACAUCAUCGGCAUGUGUCUCGGACGGCUUAAGUGGGCUUGAUGAUUCAGUACUCAAAGGAUUGAGUUUUGUUUGGUCACUGGAGAGGUCAGGAAUCUAUGGUGGAACAUCAUGGGCAGGCUCGUCGGGUUGUUUUUCAGAAACGUCUGACGCUGGGACUUGCUUCUCCGGCUCAUGGACUUUGGGAUCUUCAGCUAGCUUGGUCACCUUUGCCUUCUUACUAGGUUUUUCUUUCCCACUGUAGGGGUUAUGAGAGAUCAGUACAAGUAUAAGAGCAUAAGGAGGUAGAGAAUAAAAGAAAUUGUUAUUACCCAGGGGCAGUCUUGAAAGCCGGCAACUGGGUCUGAGAUGAGUCGCCGGAAGAAGAGCGAGAAGCCUCCUGGUAGUUUGAAUCGGAAGAAUUAAGUGGCUGGCGAAUGAGACCCGCCAGUGGGUAAAAAGAGUUUAAGUUCGGAAGGACCUCGUUUCGGCGUUUUCGCGGAACUAGAGUAUUCGGUAAGCCGGAGGAUAAUUCUUCACCCCCGCUGGUCAGAGUCUGUCGCCGGCUCUCGUGUUGCUGUUGCUUCAAAAGAAAGUGAGGAUCCGAAUGAGCUAAGGGGUGUGAAAACCUUACUUUCCGGGUUACUAGUCGAAUUUUCUGUCUUGGCAAAGGUGCUGAGCCAGAGGAAAUAAUAGUUACCUCUUCUUCAACUGCUUUGCUGGCCCCCGUGUCAUCCUGAUAAUAAUCAGUGUCAAUAAGGUAAUUGAAAAAGGAGCCAAGGGAGUCAAGGGCUACCUCCGACUCAGAGCCGUCAUUCAGUUCAAACAUCUCGGGGGCACUUGAUUUCUUCUUAUUUUUCUUGAGUGUUUUCUUGGCGGCUUUCUUGGCAGCCCUGGCCUUUUUCGCAGCUUCAUGGUCAUAUUGUUUUUUUUGAAAAGUCAGAGUCAGCCUGUGAAUAUCAUCAAAGAUUGAGUUAAUAGAAUAUUUGGAUAAUGAGGGAAAAGUAAGUGAUUUAGAGACUCACAUCCGGUGGCGGGUUAAGUUUGCACAAAGGGUUCAGACCAACUAGGCGGCAGUCUUCCGGAUCUUCAUUCAGAAGGACCUUUGUGUUCUCAUUGAUUGCUUCAUCAGUUAAACGCUCGGAAAUGUGGCGCAGUGGAUCCUUUAUACCACCCGUGUAAGUACGCAUUAAGCUGGGUCGGUGGCUCAAGGGUAUGAUUCGCCAGGAAACCCAGCACCGAACCAAGUCAAUGCUAGUUAACCCAUUUCCCAGCAGAGCCUUGACCUUUGCAAUGGUGGGGGCAAGCUUUGCAUGUUCAACGGUGGUAAGCUUUUCGGGAAGAUGAUGCUUUGGGUCAAGACGCUGGGCACGAUAACCCGGCAGUGGGUUCUCAUCAGCCGGAGAGGUGUCUUUGCAGUAAAACCAUGUUUGGUUCCAAUCUUUGGGGUGACUCGGCAAGCGAGCACAGGGGAAGAUAGCAUCUCUUCUUCGUUGAAUUGAGACUCCGCCAAGUUCCAAGCUGGGCCCAUUUGUAAACUCGUUUUGGCGGUUUAAAUAAAAAAAUCCCUAAAGAGUUCAACAUUGGGUUCCUCUUGAAGGUAUACUUCGCAGAAAACUUAAAAAUUGCAAAUGUUUGAGACAGAAUUGGGUCCGAUGUCUUGAGGAUGGAGUUGAAAGAAGUGCAAAACUACUCGGAAUUUUUUUGAUCCGGGCGGUGAGAAGCCCCGAUUCAUGUGAUCAGUAAAAACGAUGACUUCACCAUCCUUUGGGUGAGGUUUUUCUUCGCUUGGUUUGGGGGAGUGCCAAUGCAUGAUGUCUUUUGCUGGUAAAUAGCCGAUUUUGACAAAGUCUUGGAGUGUGUUCUCUGUAACAAUGGAGGGAACCCAAUUACAUGAGGUGACUGUCUUCGGCGGCAUUGUAAAGGAAGAAGCCUAAAAGAAAGAAAAUUUUGCCGGUUUAAGUUGAUUCAUUAAGCCAGAAGUAAAACAUUACAGUAUGUAUUCAGACUGGCGGCUUAAGUGGGGCCAAAUGAUAUAUGGAUAGUUAUAAAAUGGAGAUGUAAGCCGCCAUGACAACAAUGGUAUUCAGGAUUUAUCAAAGAGCGAAUUCUACUAAGUGUUGAAACAAACAAGUUUCACAGAUUGAUGCUAGGAUUUCAGAUCUGCGACACUUCGCAUAAUGGAAAAUAUUUUUGACCUAAAUUACAGUGCUCGAGUAGUUCAUAUGUUCAGAUUGGUUUUUUCUUACACGAAGGAGAUGAUCUAGUAACAAAAGCAAGUAUCACGGCUGCCGCCGUGCAGGAGAAGUGCUAAGUUUGGAUCAAAGUUACAAACUAUAGCGAAGAACAAAGGUAAACUCUGAAGAACUUCGAGAAACCCUAAUGGAGAUCUACAGUGGAGAGAGGACAUGAACUUACUAGAUCCACCGAGCAAUGGAGAGGCGCCACAGUUUCUCUGGUCUCGUUCAGGUCGAUGCAGCGGCCGGAGUCGAGGAAGCUGGCGGGUUCGGCGGCGGUGCUCAGGCGUGCGGGUGCGUUGCAAAGAUAGAGGUUGAAGAUGAGAAGAAGAAGGGGGAAAAUGGAAGGGCUGUCGGGCCCUAUUUAUAAGGAAAGGGUCAAUAAGCGAGCGCGAGAAACGAGGAGGCCAAAGAAUGAUUAUCUAGCUGUUCAAACGCCUCGAUUUUCAGGAUGGUUAUUAAGAUAAGGAUCCAUUAGAUAUGCUGGGUAUUGUGCGAAAUUAAUGGCAGAUGACAUCAUGGCGGUUUUCCAUAAUUCCAAGAGAUGACGUCAUGGCGGGUUACAAUAUCUUGUGAGAACAAGUGAAGAAGGAUUUUUCUUAAGUGUUGAAGGUUGACAUGAACAAGUUCAAAUCAACCUGGGGCCUAAUGUUGGGGAUAUAACUACUAGGUAUGACCCGCCCAGGAGGGGCCGAGUUAUACCAACAGCGGUUCAUUGUCACGAAGCCCAUGAAGGAAUCGAAGAUGGCGGUUCAUGAGGAUAUCUUAUGAAGAGCCCAAGGCCCAAAGGCGGCUUAAGGCCCAUAGGUGUAAACCGUCAUGUAUGCAUGACUUGUAUGUAAGGCAAAUGUAAUUAGUCACUGGGCCAGAAAUGAUUAUGAGCCGGCCGGGACUCUGUAAGCCGCAGGGCGUCAACCUGUGUAUAUAAAGGGACGACCCAGCGACAGUUUAGGGCAAGAGACAACAGAUCGAAAGCUAGGUCAAGUGUAUUCGCUCCCUGGUAAUCGAGGCAUAAGCAAUACCACCUCAAACUGGAUUAGGCCUUUACCUUCACCGCAAGGGGCCGAACCAGUAUAAAUCAUGUGUCCUUUGUCCCAUUUAACCCCUUUAAGCUAACCUAGUGCGAUGGCUCCACAACUAAGUCCUCACACUAGGACAUCUGUCGUGACAAUCCCACGAUAGAAACCUUCAGACAUGUCAGGUGUACCGAGGGAACUCGCUGAGCACACUCUCAAUAUUGAUCCAAAGUUUAAACCGGUCAAACAAUUUCUUCACCGUUUCAAUGAAGAGAGGCGCAAGGCUAUUGGUGAGGAGGUAGCCCGGCUCUUGGCGCCGGGUUCAUUGUUGAAGUUUUCCACCCUGAGUGGCUGGCUAACCCGGUGCUGGUACUUAAGAAAAAUGGCACCUGGCGCAUGUGUGUGGAUAAUACGGACAUAAACAAAGCUUGUCCGGCUGAUCCCUUUGCUCUCCCCCAUAUUGAUUAGAUUAUUGAUGCUAGGGAGGAUUGUGAGCGUUUAAGUUUUUUGGAUGCUUAUUCUGGUUAUCAUUAGAUCAAGAUGGCAGUUAAGGACCAGGAGAAAACAGCCUUCAUCACUCCCUUUGGAGCCUUCUGUUAUGUAUCUAUGCCUUUUGGGCUCAAGAGUGCCCAGGCGACUUGCCAGCGGUGUGUGCAGAAUUGUCUUCAUGAUCAGAUAGGGCGCAAUGUUCAUGCCUAUGUGGAUGAUAUUGUGGUGAAAUCCAGAAAGAAGGAAACCUUGAUAGUGAAGGAAAUAUGCCCUAGAGGCAAUAAUAAAGUAUUAUUUAUUUCCUUAUAUCAUGAUAAAUGUUUAUUAUUCAUGCUAGAAUUGUAUUAACCGGAAACAUAAUACAUGUGUGAAUACAUAGACAAAUAGAGUGUCACUAGUAUGCCUCUACUUGACUAGCUCGUUAAUCAAAGAUGGUUAUGUUUCCUAGCCAUAGACAUGAGUUGUCAUUUGAUUAACGGGAUCACCUCAUUAGGAGAAUGACGUGAUUGACUUGACCCAUUCCGUUAGCUUAGCACCCGAUCGUUUAGUAUGUUGCUAUUGCUUUCUUCAUGACUUAUACAUGUUCCUAUGACUAUGAGAUUAUGCAACUCUCGUUUACCGGAGGAACACUUUGUGUGCUAUCAAACGUCACAACGUAAAUGGGUGAUUAUAAAGGUGCUCUACAGGUGUCUCCAAAGGUACUUGUUGGGUUGGCGUAUUUCGAGAUUAGGAUUUGUCACUCCGAUUGUCGGAGAGGUAUCUCUGGGCCCACUCAGUAAUGCACAUCACUAUAAGCCUUGCAAGCAUUGUGACUAAUGAGUUAGUUGCGGGAUGAUGUAUUACGGAACGAGUAAAGAGACUUGCCGGUAACGAGAUUGAACUAGGUAUCGAGAUACUGAUGAUCGAAUCUCGGGCAAGUAACAUACCGAUGACAAAGGGAACAACGUAUGUUGUUAUGCGGUCUGACCGAUAAAGAUCUUCGUAGAAUAUGUGGGAGCCAAUAUGGGCAUCCAGGUCCCGCUAUUGGUUAUUGACCAGAGAAGUGUCUCGGUCAUGUCUACAUAGUUCUAGAACCCGAAGGGUCCGCACGCUUAACGUUACGAUGACAGUUUUAUUGAGUUUUGAUGUACCGAAGGAGUUCGGAGUCCCGGAUGAGAUCGGGGACAUGACGAGGAGUCUCGAAAUGGCCGAGACGUAAAAAUCGAUAUAUUGGACGACUAUAUUCGGACUUCGGAAAGGUUCCGAGUGAUUCGGAUAUUUUUCGGAGUACCGGAGAGUUACGGGAAUUCGUAUUGGGCCUUAAUGGGCCAUACGGGAAAGGAGAGAAAGGCCUCAAAAGGUGGCCGCGCCCCUCCCCAUGAUCUGGUCCGAAUUGGACUAGGGAAGGGGGGCGCCCCCUUCCUUCUUUCUCCUUCUCCCUUCCCUUCUCCUAUUCCAACAAGGAAAGGAGGAGUCCUACUCCCGGUGGGAGUAGGACUCCCCCUUCUGGCGCGCCUCUCCUCCCUAGGCCGGCGGCCUCCCCCUUGCUCCUUUAAAUACGGGGGCAGGGGGGCACCCCAUGAACACACUUGAUAUACGAUAUUUUAGCCGUGUGCGGUGCCCCCCUCCACCAUAUUACACCUCGAUAAUACCGUUGCGGAGCUUAGGCGAAGCCCUGCGUCAGUGGAACAUCAUCAUCGUCACCACGCCGUCGUGCUGACGAAACUCUCCCUCAACACUCGGCUGGAUCGGAGUUCGAGGGACGUCAUCGAGCUGAACGUGUGUAGAACUCGGAGGUGCCGUGCGUUCGGUACUUGAUUGGUCGGAUCGGAAAGACGUACGACCACAUCAACCGCGUUGUGAUAACGCUUCCGCUGUCGGUCUACGAGGGUACGUGGACAACACUCUCCCCUCUCGUUGCUAUGCAUCACCAUGAUCUUGCGUGUGCGUAGGAAUUUUUUUGAAAUUACUACGUUCCCCAACAGUGGCAUCCGAGCCUGGUUUUAUGUGUUGAUGCUAUGCACGAGUAGAACACAAGUGAGUUGUGGGCGAUAUAAGUCAUACUGCUUACCAGCAUGUCAUACUUUGGUUCAGCGGUAUUGUGAGAUGAAGCGGCCCGGACCGACAUUACGCGUACGCUUACGCGAGACUGGUUUCACCGUUCGGAGCACUCGUUGCCUAAAGGUGACUGGCGGGUGUCUGUCUCUCUCACUUUAGUUGAACCGAGUGUGGCUACGCCCGGUCCCUGCGAAGGUUAAAACAACACCAACUUGACAAACUAUCGUUGUGGUUUUGAUGCGUAGGUAAGAACGGUUCUUGCUAAGCCCGUAGCAGCCACGUAAAACAUGCAACAACAAAGUAGAGGACGUCUAACUUGUUUUUGCAGGGCAUGUUGUGAUGUGAUAUGGUCAAGACAUGAUGUGAUAUAAUUUGUUGUAUGAGAUGAUCAUGUUUUGUAACCGAGUUAUCGGCAACUGGCAGGAGCCAUAUGGUUGUCGCUUUAUUGUAUGAAAUGCAAUCGCCAUGUAAUAGUUUUACUUUAUCACUAAGCGGUAGCGAUAGUCGUAAAAGCAAUUAGUUGGCGAGACGACAACGAUACUACGAUGGAGAUCAAGGUGUCGCGCCGGUGACGAUGGUGAUCAUGACGGUGCUUCGGAGAUGGAGAUCACAAGCACAAGAUGAUGAUGGCCAUAUCAUAUCACUUAUAUUGAUUGCAUGUGAUGUUUAUCUUUUAUGCAUCUUAUCUUGCUUUGAUUGACGGUAGCAUUAUAAGAUGAUCUCUCACUAAAAUUUCAAGAUAAAAGUGUUCUCCCUGAGUAUGCACCGUUGCGAAAGUUCUUCGUGCUGAGACACCACGUGAUGAUCGGGUGUGAUAGGCUCUACGUUCAAAUACAAUGGGUGCAAAACAGUUGCACACGCGGAAUACUCAGGUUAAACUUGACGAGCCUAGCAUAUGCAGAUAUGGCCUCGGAACACGGAGACCGAAAGGUCGAGCGUGAAUCAUAUAGUAGAUAUGAUCAACAUGGUGAUGUUCACCAUUGAAACUACUCCAUCUCACGUGAUAAUCGGACAUGGUUUAGUUGAUUUGGAUCACGUAAUCACUUAGAUGAUUAGAGGGAUAUCUAUCUAAGUGGGAGUUCUAAAGUAAUAUGAUUAAUUGAACUUGAAUUUAUCAUGAACUUAGUCCUGAUAGUAUUUUGCAAAUUAUGUUGUAGAUCAAUAGCUCGCAUUGUUGCUUCCCUGUGUUUAAUUUUUGAUAUGUUCCUAGAGAAAAAUUAUGUUGAAAGAUGUUAGUAGCAAAGAUGCGGAUUGGAUCCGUGAUCUGAGGAUUAUCCUCAUUGCUGCACAGAAGAAUUAUGUCCUUGAUGCAUCGCUAGGUGACAGACCUAUUGCAGGAGCAGAUGCAGACGUUAUGAAUGUUUGGCUAGCUCAAUAUGAUGACUACUUGAUAGUUUAGUGCACCAUGCUUAACGGCUUAGAAUGGGGACUUCAAAGACGUUUUGAACGUCAUGGACCAUAUGAGAUGUUCCAGGAGUUGAAGUUAAUAUUUCAAGCAAAUACCUGAGUUGAGAGAUAUGAAGUCUCCAACAAGUUCUGUAGCUAAAAGAUGGAGGAGAAUCGCUCAACUAGUGAGCAUGUGCUCAGAUUGUCUGGGUACUACAAUCGCCUAAAUCAAGUGGGAGUUUAUCUUCCAGAUAAAAUAGUGAUUGACAGAAUUCUCUAGUCACCAUCACCAUGUUAGUAGAACUUCGUGAUGAACUAUAGUAUGCAAGGGAUGACGAAAGUAAUUCCCGAGCUCUUCGUGAUGCUGAAAUCGACGAAGGUAGAAAUCAAGAAAAACAUCAAGUGUUGAUGGUUGACGAGACCACUAGUUUCAAGAAAAGGGCAAAGGGAAGAAGGGGAACUUCAAAAAGAACGGCAAGCAAGUUGCUACUCAAGUGAAGAAGCCCAAGUCUGUACCUAAGCCUGAGACUAAGUGCUUCCACUGCAAAGGGACUGGUCACUGGAAGCGGAACUACCCCAACUAUUUGGUGGAUAAGAAGGAUGGCAAAGUGAACAAAGGUAUAUUGGAUAUACAUGUUAUUGAGGUGUACUUACUAGUGUUUAUAGCAACCCCUCAGUAUUUGAUACUGGUUCAGUUGCUAAAGAGUAGUAACUCGAAAACGGGAGUUGCAGAAUAAACAGAGACUAGUAAAAGGCGAGGUGACGAUGUGUGUUGGAAGUAGUUCCAAGAUUGAUAUGAUCAUCAUCGCACACUCCCUAUACUUUCGGGAUUAGUGUUGAAACUAAAUAAGUGUUAUUUGGUGUUUGCGUUGAGCAUGAAUAUGAUUUGAUCAUGUUUAUUGCAAUACGGUUAUUCAUUUAAGUUAGAGAACAAUUGUUGUUCUGUUUACAUGAAUAAAAACCUUCUAUGGUCAUACACACCAACGAAAAUGGUUUGUUGGAUCUCGAUCGUAGUGAUACACAUAUUCAUAAUAAUGAAGCCAAAAGAUGCAAAGUUAAUAAUGAUAGCGCAACUUAUUUGUGGCAUUGCCGUUUAGGUCAUAUUGGUGUAAAGCGCAUGAAGAAACUCCAUACUGAUGGGAUUUUGGAAUCACUUGAUUAUGAAUCACUUGAUGCUUGCGAACCGUGACUCAUGGGCAAGAUGACUAAAAACGCCGUUCUCCGGAACUAUGGAGAGAGCAACAGAUUUGUUGGAAAUCAUGCAUACAGAUGUAUGUGGUCCGAUGAAUAUUGAGGCUCGUAGCAGGUAUCAUUAUUUUCUGACCUUCACAGAUGAUUUGAGCAGAUAUGGGUAUAUCUACUUGAUGAAACAUAAGUCUGAAGCAUUUGAAAAGUUCAAAGAAUUUCAGAGUGAAGUAGAAAAUCAUCGUGACGAGAAAAUAAGGUUUCUAUGAUUUGAUCGCGGAGACAAAUAUUUGAGUUACGAGUUUGGUCUUCAAUUAAAACAAUGUGGAAUAGUUUGACAAAUUCACGCCACCUGGAACACCACGGUGUAAUGGUGUGUCCGAACAUCGUAACCGUACUUUAUUAGAUAUGGUGCGAUAUAUGAUGUCUCUUAUCGAUCUACCACUAUCGUUUUGGGGUUAUGCAUUAGAGACAGCUGCAUUCACGUUAAAUAGGGCACCAUCAAAAUCCGUUAAGACGACGCCUUAUGAACUGUGGUUUAGCAAGAAACCAAAGUUGUCGUUUCUUAAAAUUUGGGGUUGCGAUGCUUAUGUGAAAAGGUUUCAUCCUGAUAAGCUCAAACCCAAAUCGGCGAAAUGUGUCUUCAUAGGAUACCCAAAGGAGACAGUUGGGUACACCUUCUAUCACAGAUCCAAAGGCAAGACAUUCAUUGCUAAGAAUGGAUCCUUUCUAGAGAAGGAGUUUCUCUCGAAAGAAGUGAGUGGGAGGAAAGUAGAACUUGAUGAGGUAACUGUACCUGCUCCCUUAUUGGAAAGUAGUUCAUCACAGAAAUCUGUUCCUGUGACUCCUACACCAAUUAGUGAGGAAGUUAAUGAUGAUGAUCGUGUAACUUCAGAUAAAGUUACUACCAAACCUCGUAGGUAAACCAGAGUAAGAUCCGCACCAGAGUGGUACGGUAAUCCUGUUAUGGAGGUUAUGUUACUAGACCAUGACGAACCUACGAACUAUGAAGAAGCGAUGGUGAGCCCAGAUUCCGCGAAAUGGCUUGAGGCCAUGAAAUCUGAGAUAAGAUCCAUAUAUGAGAACAAAGUAUGGACUUUGAUUGACUUGCCCAAUGAUCGGCAAGCCAUUGAGAUUAAAUGGAUCUUCAAGAGGAAGACGGACGCUGAUAGUAGUGUCACUAUCUACAAAGCUAGAAUUGUCGCAAAAGGUUUUCGACAAGUUCAAGGUGUUGAAUACGAUGAGAGAGUUUCUCACUCGUAUCUAUGCUUAAAGUCUGUCUGAAUCAUAUUAGCAAUUGCCGCAUUUUAUGAAAUCUGGCAAAUGGAUAAACAAAACUACAUUCCUUAAUGGAUUUAUUAAAGAAGAGUUGUAUAUGAUGCAACCAGGAGGUUUUGUCAAUCCUAAAAGUGCUAACAAAAUAUGCAAGCUCCAGCGAUCCAUCUAUGGACUGGUGCAAGCAUCUCGGAGUUGGAAUAUACGCUUUGAUAAGUUGAUCAAAGGAUAUAGUUUUAUACAGACUUGCGAUGAAGGCUGUAUUUACAAGAAAGUGAGUGGGAGCACUACAACAUUUCUGAUAAGUAUAUGUAAAUGACAUAUUGUUGAUCAGAAAUAAUGUAAGAUUAUUCUGCAAAGCAUAAAGGAGUGUUUGAAAGGAGUUUUUCAAAGAAAGACCUCGGUGAAGCUGCUUACAUAUUGAGCAUCAAGAUCUAUAGAGAUAGAUGAAGACACUUGAUAAGUUUUUCAAUGAGUACAUACCUUAACAAGAUUUUGAAGUAGUUCAAAAUAGAACAGUCAAAGAAAGAGUUCUUGCCUGUGUUACAAGGUGUGAAAUUGAGUAAAGACUCAAAGCCCGACCACGGCAAAAGAUAGAAAAAGAAUGAAAGUCAUUACCUAUGCCUUGGCCAUAGCUUCUAUAAAGUAUGCCAUGCUGUGUACCAGAUCUAUUGUAUACCCUACACUGAUUUUGGCAAGGGAGUACAAUAGUGAUCUAGGAGUAGAUCACUGGACAGCAGUCAAAAUUAUCCUUAGUGGAAUAAGGAUAUGUUCCUCGAUUAUGGAAGUGACAAAAGGUUCGUCGUAAAGGGUUACAUCGAUGCAAGUUUUGACACUAAUCUAGAUGACUCUAAGUCUCGGUCUAGAUACAUAUUGAAAGUGGGAGCAAUUAGCUAGAGUAGCUCCGUGCAGAGCAUUGUAGACAUAGAAAUUUGCAAAAUACUUACGGAUCUGAAUGUGACAGACCCGUUGACUAAAAUUAUCUCACAAUCAAAACAUGAUCACACCUUAGUACUCUUUGGGUGUUAAUCACAUAGCGAUGUGAACUAGAUUACUGACUCUAGUAAACCCUUUGAGUGUUGGUCACAUAGAGAUGUGAACUAUGGGUGUUAAUCACAUGGUGAUGUGAAUUAUUAAUGUUAAAUCACAUGGCGAUGUGAACUAGAUUAUUGACUCUAGUGCAAGUGGGAGACUGAAGGAAAUAUGCCCUAGAGGCAAUAAUAAAGUAUUAUUUAUUUCCUUAUAUCAUGAUAAAUGUUUAUUAUUCAUGCUAGAAUUGUAUUAACCGGAAACAUAAUACAUGUGUCAAUACAUAGACAAACAGAGUGUCACUAGUAUGCCUCUACUUGACUAGCUCGUUAAUCAAAGAUGGUUAUGUUUCCUAGCCAUAGACAUGAGUUGUCAUUUGAUUAACGGGAUCACCUCAUUAGGAGAAUGACGUGAUUGACUUGACCCAUUCGGUUAGCUUAGCACCCGAUCGUUUAGUAUGUUGCUUUUGCUUUCUUCAUGACUUAUACAUGUUCCUAUGACUAUGAGAUUAUGCAACUCCCGUUUACCGGAGGAACACUUUGUGUGCUACCAAACGUCACAACGUAAAUGGGUGAUUAUAAAGGUGCUCUACAGGUGUCUCCAAAGGUACUUGUUGGGUUGGCGUAUUUCGAGAUUAGGAUUUGUCACUCUGAUUGUCGGAGAGGUAUCUCUGGGCCCACUCAGUAAUGCACAUCACUAUAAGCCUUGCAAGCAUUGUGACUAAUGAGUUAGUUGCGGGAUGAUGUAUUACGGAACGAGUAAAGAGACUUGCCGGUAACGAGAUUGAACUAGGUAUCGAGAUACCGACGAUCGAAUCUCGGGCAAGUAACAUACCGAUGACAAAGGGAACAACGUAUGUUGUUAUGCGGUCUGACCGAUAAAGAUCUUCGUAGAAUAUGUGGGAGCCAAUAUGGGCAUCCAGGUCCCUCUAUUGGUUAUUGACCAGAGAAGUGUCUCGGUCAUGUCUACAUACUUCUAGAACCCGAAGGGUCUGCACGCUUAACGUUAUGAUGACAGUUUUAUUGAUUUUUGAUGUACCGAAGGAGUUCGGAGUCCCGGAUGAGAUCGGGGACAAGAAGAGAAGUCUCGAAAUGGCCGAGACAUAAAAAUCGAUAUAUUGGACGACUAUAUUCGGACUUCGGAAAGGUUCCGAGUGAUUCGGGUAUUUUUCGGAGUACCGGAGAGUUACGGGAAUUCGUAUUGGGCCUUAAUGGGCCAUACGGGAAAGGAGAGAAAGGCCUCAAAAGGUGGCCGCGCCCCUCCCCAUGAUCUGGUCCGAAUUGGACUAGGGAAGGGGGGCGCCCCCUUCCUUCUUUCUCCUUCUCCCUUCCCUUCUCCUAUUCCAACAAGGAAAGGAGGAGUCCUACUCCCGGUGGGAGUAGGACUUCCCCUUCUGGCGCGCCUCUCCUCCCUAGGCCGGCGGCCUCCCCCUUGCUCCUUUAUAUCCGGGGGCAGGGGGGCACCCCAUGAACACACUUGAUAUACGAUAUUUUAGCUGUGUGCGGUGCCCCCCUCCACCAUAUUACACCUCGAUAAUACCGUUGCGGAGCUUAGGCGAAGCCCUGCGUCGGUGGAACAUCAUCAUCGUCACCACGCCGUCGUGCUGACGAAACUCUCCCUCAACACUCGGCUGGAUCGGAGUUCGAGGGACGUCAUCGAGCUGAACGUGUGUAGAACUCGGAGGUGCCGUGUGUUCGGUACUUGAUUGGUCGGAUCGUGAAGACGUACGACUACAUCAACCGCGUUGUGAUAACGCUUUCGCUGUCGGUCUACGAGGGUACAUGGACAACACUCUCCACUCUCGUUGCUAUGCAUCACCAUGAUCUUGCGUGUGCGUAGGAAUUUUUUUGAAAUUACUACGUUCCCCAACAGAUAGAUGAUUUAAAGGAAACCUUUGACAAUCUCCCGGUUUACAAGAUGAUGCUUAACCCGGCCAAGUGUGUUUUUGGUGUGCCAGCAGGCAAGCUCUUGGGAUUUCUGGUUUCAGAACGGGGUAUUGAAGCUAACCCGGAGAAGAUAAAGGCUAUCACCUCUCUGGCUAAGCCAGCGUGUAUCAAUGAUGUUCAGCAUUUGGCGGGUCAUAUUGCGGCCUUGAGCCGGUUCAUAAGCCGGUUGGGUGAGAAGGCUAUCCCUCUGUACUAGAUGAUGAAGAAGACAGAUCACUUUUUCUGGAGUGAUGCUGCUGAUCAGGCAUUUGAGGCCUUGAAGAAACAAUUGGCUGAGCCGCCGGUUCUUGCUGCUCCCAUUAAUAAGGAGCCUUUGUUAUUAAAUGUGGCUGCUAAUUGCCGAGCUGUUAGUGUAGUGAUUGUGGUGGAAAGGAAGGAACCAGGCAAGGAGCAUCUGGUUCAAUGGCCGGUUUAUUACAUCAGUGAGGUGCUUUUUGAGUCCAAGCAGAGGUAUCCGCAUUGGCAGAAGCUUGUGUAUGGGGUUUUCAUGGCUAGUCGAAAGCUCAAGCAAUAUUUUUUGGGUCAUCCCAUCACUGUGGUUUGUUCUGCUCCUUUAGGGGAUAUUAUUCAAAACAGAGAAGCCACAGGUCGGGUAGCCAAGUGGGCCAUUGAGCUUGGACCUCAUGGUUUGAAAUAUAUGCCUCGAACAGCCAUUAAGUCUCAAGCGCUUGUGGAUUUCAUAAAUGAUUCGACAGAGCUGCAGAUGCCUGAGGAUAACCCGGAUAACACUUAUUGGAGUAUUCAUUUUGAUGGAUCUAGGCAGUUGGAGGGCUCGGGGGCUGGAGUUGUCUUGACUUCCCCACGAGGUGAUAAAUUUUCUUAUGUUCUCCGGUUGAUGUUCCCUUGUACUAACAAUGCAACUGAGUAUGAGGCCUUGCUCCAUGGCCUUCGGAUGGCUAAGGAGAUGAACUUAAGCCGGUUGAGGUGUUUUGGCGACCCAGAUUUAGUGGCUCAGCAAGUUUCUGGUACUUGGGAUUCCAAGGAUCCACUCACGGCGGCUUAUUGUCGUGAGGUUGAUGCUAUAGCGGGUCAUUUCAAAGGUUAUCAAGUUGAACAUGUUGAUCGCAGGAAAAAUGAGGCGGCUGAUGCUUUAAGCCGGUUGGGAUCCCAGCGUAAGCCGGUGCCACCUAACACUUUCCUGGAUAUCCUGCAUAACCCUUCGGUCAAAUUGCCCACAGUGGAAGAUCUGGCUAUUCCUAACCCGGAAGCAGAACUGUGGCGGCUCUUCAUGCUAUUCCUGAUUGGACAGUUCCUUAUUUGGCUUAUAUGACCCGGGGCGAGUUACCUGAGGAUGAAACUUUGGCCACACAGAUAACCCGGCGGUCUAAAUCAAUGUCUAUUGUCAAUGGAGAGUUGCAUCAUCGCAGUGUCACACGAGCGUUUCAACAUUGCGUUUCUCCUGAAGAAGGCUGCGAAAUUUUAAGAGAGAUCCAUGAAGGAGAUUGUGGUCAUCAUGACGGGUCUAAGUUUCUCGUAGCCAAGGCAUUUUUUCAUGGAUUUUAUUAGCUGACGGCUUAUGAUGAUGCAGAAGAUCUGAUCAGUAAAUUUGAUGGUUGUCAGAAGUUUGCGCGACGAGCUCAUGUGCUGGCUCAAGAAUUGAGGAUGAUUCCAAUUGCUUGACCAUUUGCAGUCUGGGGGCUUGAUAUGGUUGGGCCUUUCAAAAUGUCCAAGGAUAAAAAGACCCACCUCCUGGUGGCGGUUGACAAGUUUACAAAGUGGGUUGAAGCAGAGCCGGUUAGUAAGUGUGACGCAGCAACGGCGGUUCAAUUCAUCAAAAAGGUGUCUUUCCGUUUUGGCUUUCCCCACAGCAUUAUAACUGAUAAUGGCGCUAACCUAUCCAAAGGUGCUAUGAAAGAGUUUUGUCAACGAGAACAUAUUCGACUUGAUGUAUCUUCAGUGGCUCACCCCCAGUUCAAUGGUCAAGCGGAGCGAGCUAAUCAAGAGAUUUUGAGAGGCAUCAAGCCUCGACUCAUGGUUCCUUUGCAGAGAACGCCGGGUUGUUGGGUGGAAGAGUUGCCCUCAGUAUUAUGGAGCAUCAAUACUACCCCCAACAGAUCCACAUGUUACAUGCCUUUAUUUAUGGUUUACGGAGCAGAGGCGGUUCUCCCUAGUGACUUCCGUCACGAUUCGCCCCGUGUGGCGGCUUAUGUUGAAGCUGAUAAUGAAACAGGACGUCAGGAUGCUCUUGACCUGUUGGAUGAGGAGCGUGACCUUGCGGCGGCUCGUUUGGCAAUUUACCAGCAGGAUCUGCGUCAUAAUCACAGCCGCCGGGUUAAAACCAGAACCUUUCAAGAAGGCGACUUGGUGCUCCGGCUUAUCCAGGAUUAGACUGAUAUGCAUAGACUAUCCCCGCCUUGGGAAGGGCCUUCUGUGGUCAGCAAGAAUCUGAAUAAUGGGUCAAACUAUCUUAUCGAUGUUCGAGACCACAAGGACUUACGCACAUCGGAGGAGGAGACCCGUUAGUCGUGGAAUAUUGCUCAUCUUCAGCCUUACUACACCUGAGUCACUGGCUCUCAUGAUGUACAUAUUUUGAUGAUGUAUAUAUUAUAAUGAGUAUAAUAAAGCCGGCAUCCCUGAUAAAUCAGGGCCUCUGUCAUUUCAUUUCUUUGAAAUUGAGUCUUUAUUGUCAUCUCACGUGAUCACUUAAGAGGCUUAAAUGCCCGAGUUACAGGGACCAAAGAGAGUUGGAUGGACAGCACAGCUCAAACAUAGGUACCCGCUGAGUAGAGCUCAGAAACAUAUCACUUGGGGGCUUCCUUUUCAAUGAACAUAGCUAUAUUCACCCUUUUGAUUGGCUUGGAUGCCAGGUGUAUUCACCAAAAAUCCGAGUUAUCCUGCCUGUAUGCAAGAUGCUUCUCCAUCAGGUAAUCCUGAAUGACCCGUUGUACUCUUAACAGUCAAUCUUUUAAUAAGACCCUGAACUGGUUAAGGUUAAAACAGCCGUUUGUCAUGUGAGGGCCGGCUUACGGAACGCAAGGAUAAACCCCGGCUAUUAAGCCGCCUUCCUUAAAACUUGGUCAAGCCAGCCUGUUUUUGCACAAUGCUACUCCAACCCCGCAUACUCUCGAUAAGUCAAUCUUUUAACAAGACCCUGAACUUAUCCAGGUUAAAAUGUCGAUUGGGUCAUGUGAGAGCCGGCUUACAGAAAACACGGAUACUCCAGCGGCUAUCAUGCUAGUUUCAUUGAAGAAGAGAUUUUGGCUCGGCGGCCUAUGAAAGCCUCGUGUUUUUUCGAAUCUUCUAUUUUCGGCUUGGAUUUGUAUCGCUUCUUCUUUUCUUACCAUAUAAUUUUCAUAAGUCGGGCCAAGCAGCCUUGACUAUGUUUUAUAUUUGGGAUAUUAUACCCUGCCCUGGUUAUGGACUUUUAUGGUCACCAGUGGACUUAUGUUGGGCAUCAUGACCCGCCCUGCGGUAAACCGCCAGGGUACUUGUGAUUUGUUUGUGUGCAGGAAAAAGGGAUACACAACUAAUCUAUAUAAUGAUAUCAUCAAAAAUUGCAUAUCUUCAACUGGUGCUUCAGCAGCAUCAGACAAAAUAAAACAUGCACGAUGGCAUGGCAGAUCAAAAGUUUAACUCGCCUAUUACAAGGGAUCUGAUGGCCCAAUGAGAAUAAGUGUUUUGGGAGCUAUCAACACAACAAAGUAUUUAUGCUUAAUAAACAUCAGCUUAUGAUUGUUGGCGGGUUGAAGCCUCUGGGUGUUCCGGCACCUCUUCUUCAUCUUUAGCUCCUUGGUUUUCCACCAGCUGGAAGUCAGGCGUAGUCCAGUUGAUACCGGUCAACGCUCUAAAUACAGCUUCAUCAUCAAUGAGUGUCGGCGUUCUGGGAAUGGGGGUCCCCAGACCGGCCUGCCUGCUGCCCACGGUGUGGCUCCACCUGCGGCCUGGUAUGGCCCAUCAUCACCAGCAAACACUCAAGACCCUCGCGAGGGGCCAAGCCUAGCUAGGCGGACGACACAAGACCUCCUCAGGGGUGGCCUCACUAGGCUGGCUCGUCAGGGGCGGAGAGAUCAAGGCAAGGGGCGCCUCGUGAGGUUCCUGUGACGCAAUCCAUGACGACCAAGGCCAGGCGGGCGCCAGGCGGGCACCAUCGUGCGUAGUGUACUCGUUUCCUCUUUGGUGCUAAAGGAGGCAGGCGCAGGCGAGGAGUCCCGAGGCAUCAGGCAAAGGUUUCCAUAUCGAUGCAACGAGACCAAGACCAGCAGGACGGCAGGACGGAGGUCACCGUGGAGCCCAGGAUGGCGUCACUACCAGAGCCUUUGGCAGGCGAAGACCACCUUUAGUCAGGAUAACUUGUACUGGUUGUCUCCCUUCAAUUUUGGCUGUUGUUGGAUCCCUUCCCGCCUACAUUUGGGAAGAGGACCAUGGCCUUUAUAAAUCGGAUCCAUUCCAUCCUCACACACACAAGCUCAUCGAGCCCAAGAACACCUCUCUUCAGGAGGCUGUUCUUCACUUGUACUUGUUCAUCCUUAGGCUCUGAGGCAAUCCACCACACCACAAUGGAGUAGGGUAUUACACCACAUCGGUGUCCCGAACCAGUAUAAACUCUGUGUCCAUUGUUCUUCAGGUUUGACAUGCAGAGCUUUAAGAUCGUCGUGAGUGUGUGAGCCAGGGGAGGGAGAGAUCUUCGUGCGCACCCCAGUGUUCGAACCAUAAGGGUUUUGCCGGAACCCGAAAUCCGACAUUUGGCACGCCAGGUAGGGGUGCGCUGAAGCUUUCCUUCCGUCAAUCCGCGCUCCACCACGUCCAUGGUAGACGCGCGCCAAUCUCGCGCCGAGCGCUAGGCCGCCCUGGCUGCCCGUGUCGCUCAGAUGGCCCCUAUCGGCGUGCCUCCCCGUCCUUCUCCAUCACCCGCCGCCAACGCCGCCACUGGCCCAGCGGGAAACGAGCAGCAAGCGUCCUCGCUGCACCCCUCUGUGUGGCGGGACGGCCGCACCGCCCCUCCAUCGCUAACCCCGGCCGGCUCAUCGUCUCACGCUCGACGCGCACCCACGGACACGCUGGCUGAUACGUCUCCAACGUAUCUAUAAUUUUUUAUUGUUCCAUGCUAUUAUAUUAUCUGUUUUGGAUGUUUAAUGGGCUUUAUUAUACACUUUUAUAUUAUUUUUGGGACUAACCUACAAACCGAAGGCCCAGCCCAAAUUGUUGUUUUUUGCCUAUUUCAGUGUUUCGAAGGAAAGGAAUAUCAAACGGAGUCCAAACGGAAUGAAACCUUCGGGAACGUGAUUUUCUGAACAAACGUGAUCCAGAGGACUUGGAGUGGACGUCAAGCACUCAACAAGGGGGCCACGAGGCAGGGGGCGCGCCUACCCCCCUGGGCGCGCCCUCCACCCUCGUGGGCCCCUUGUGUCUCCGCCGACCUACUUCUUCCUCCUAUAUUACGUACGUGCCCCGAAAACAUCAGAGGAGGAGCCAAAACCCUAUUUCCACUGCCGCAACCUUCUGUACCCGUGAGAUCCCAUCUUGGGGCCUUUUCCGGCGCUCCAUCGGAGGGGACAUUGAUCACGGAGGGCUUCUACAUCAACACCAUAGCCUCUCCGAUGAUGUGUGAGUAGUUUACCUCAGACCUUCGGGUCCAUAAUUAUUAGCUAUAUGGCUUCUUCUCUCUCUUUGGAUCUCAAUACAAAGUUCUCCUCGAUUCUCUUGGAGAUCUAUUCGAUGUAAUAUUCUUUUGUGGUGUGUUUGUCGAGAUCCGAUGAAUUGUGGGUUUAUGAUCAAGAUUAUCUAUGAACAAUAUUUGAAUCUCCUCUGAAUUCUUUUAUGUAUGAUUGGUUAUCUUUGCAAGUCCUUAGAAUUAUCAGUUUGGUUUGGCCUACUAGAUUGAUCUUUCUUGCAAUGGGAGAAGUGCUUAGCUUUGGGUUCAAUCUUGCGGUGCUCGAUCCCAGUGACAGUAGGGGUAACGACACGUGUUAUAUUGUUGCAAUCGAGGAUAAAAAGAUGGGGUUUAUAUCAUAUUGCAUGAGUUUAUCCCUCUACAUCAUGUCAUCUUGCUUAAAGCGUUACUCCGUUCUUAUGAACUUAAUACUCUAGGUGCAUGCUGAAUAGCGGUCGAUGUGUGGAGUAAUAGUAGUAGAUGCAGUAGGAGUCGGUCUACUUGUCACGAACGUGAUGCCUAUAUACAUGAUCAUACCUAGAUAUUCUCAUAACUAUGCUCAAUUCUAUCAAUUGCUCGACAGUAAUUUGUUUACCCACCGUAAUACUUAUGUUCUUGAGAGAAGCCACUAGGGAAACCUAUGGCCCCCGGGUCUAUUCUCUAUCAUAUUAAUCUACCGCUAUUUACAUUACCGUUUAUUUUGCUUUCUUUACUUUUAGUAUUUAUCAUAAAAAUACCAAAAAUAUUAUCUUAUCAUCUCUAUCAGAUCUCACUUUUGCAAGUGGUCGUGAAGGGAUUGACAACCCUUUUCUCGCGUUGGUUGCAAGGCUCUUAUUUGUUUGUGUAGGUGCGUGGGACUUGAGCGUGGUCUCCUACUGGAUUGAUACCUUGGUUCUCAAAAACCGAGGGAAAUACUUACGCUACUUUACUGCAUCACCCUUUCCUCUUCAAGGGAAAACCAAUGCAGUGCUCAAGAGGUAGCAAGAAGGAUUUCUGGUGCCGUUGCCGGGGAGUCUACGCAGAAGUCAAGACAUACCAAGUACCCAUCACAAACUCUUAUCCCUUGCAUUACAUUAUUUGUCAUUUGCCUCUCGUUUUCCUCUCCCCCACUUCACCCUUGCCGUUUUAUUCGCGCUUCUUCUGUACGUCUUUUUCGUUUACUUUGAUGUCUUACUUGGCUCGUUUGCUCGAUUGGUUGGAAUAGUUGUGUAUUUAUUGCUAAACAAAGAGCCUAAGAUCUAUGGAUCCUCAUCCGCUUGCUAAUCUUUUUAAGAGAUCCAAUUAUGAUGAACCAAUUCCUAGUGAUUUGGGUGCACUAGAUUAUCUUUACAAGGUUUUGCUUGAAAUCCGUGAAUCUGAAAAUUGUGAUGAAGUGCUUUAUGAAGAUUCACCAUAGAUCUUUGAAAAAAUCAUGAUUGCAAUGAUGUUAUUAUAAAUUCUAUUAAUGUCAAUUGUGUUAAUGAUAUGCAAAACCCUAAGCUUGGGGAUGCUAAGUUUGCUAUGUCUACUACUAGUUGCAAUGAUCAUGAUUGGGGUGAUUCUUCUUAUGAUCUUGAAAAUUUAUUUAAGUCCCAUGAUGAAUAUGAGAUUGAUAGUUGUGUUUGCAAUAAUAUUGAAAGCGGGUUUGGAAGAGUGUGAACUUUAGAUCCCACAUAUUUGGAGAAUAUUCAAUCUUAUGAUUUUUUUUAUAAAAGUGGGUUUGGAGAGGUCAUGACUUUAGUUAAUGUUAAUCCCACUAUUUCGGAAGAGUGUCAACUUUGCAUGCAAGUGGAUCACGAAGAGAAUAUGUUAUGUGAUAGCUAUAUUGUUGAAUUUUCGUAUGAUCCUACAUGUAAUUACUAUGAGAGAGGAAAAUAUGGUUGUAGAAACUUUUAUCUUACUAAAUUACCUCUCGUCAUGUUGAGAUUGCUAUUGUCACUUUCUUCUUCCCUGCAUAUGCUAGUUUUUGCUUGCCUUGCAAUUUUUUUACUUAUAAUAUGCCUAUGCAAAGGAAGUACGUUAGACUUAGAUGUGUUUGUCCCGUGUUUUAUGAUGCUCUCUUUGCGCUUCAAUUCUUGUCUUUCAUGUGAGCAUCAUUAAAAUUAUCUAUGCCUAGCUAAAAGGCUUUAAAGAAAAGCGCUUGUUGGGAGACAAACCAAUAUUUUUCCUUGCUGUUAUUCAAUAAAUCUUUGCUCUAGCCUGUGGUUAGAUGUGUUUUUAUGUUUUAAUUAGUGUUUGUGCCAUGUUAAACCUAUAGUAUCUUCUUGGAUGAUAGUUAUUUGAUCUUGCUGAAAAUUCCAGAAACUUUCUGUUCACAAAAGAAAUUGUUAAAAAUCACCAGAACGUGAUAAAAUACUGAUUCCAAUUGCAGUAGAUCAAUAAAAAAAUUAUCUAGAUCUUACUAUUUUGGUAUAUUUUUCUGAGUUCCAGAAGUUUGCGUUCGAUACAGAUUACUACAGACUGUUCAGUUUUUGACAGAUUCUGUUUUUCGUGUGUUGUUUGCUUAUUUUGAUGAAUCUAUGGCUAGUAAAAGAGCUUAUAAACCAUAGAGAAGUUGGAAUACAGUGGGUUUAAAACCAAUAUAAAUAAAGAAUGAGUUCAUUACAGUACCUUGAAGUGGUGUUUUGUUUUCUUUCGCUAACCGAGCUCACGAGAUUUUCUGUUAAGUUUUGUGUUGUGAAGUAUUCAAGUUUUGGGUAAAGAUUUGAUGGAUUAUGGCACAAGGAUUGGCAAGAGCCUAAGCUUGGGGAUGCUCAAGGCACCCCAAGGUAAAAUUCAAGGACAACCAAAAGCCUAAGCUUGGGGAUGCCCCGGAAGGCAUCCCCUCUUUCGUCUUCGUCUAUCGGUAACUUUACUUGGGGCUAUAUUUUUAUUCACCACAUGAUAUGUGUUUUGCUUGGAGCGUCUUGUAUUAUUCGAUUCUUUGAUUUUUAGUUUACCACAAUCAUCCUUUCUGUACACACCUUUUGAGAGAGACACACAUGAUUCGUAAUUUGUUAGAAUACUCUAUGUGCUUCACUUAUAUCUUUUGAGCUAUAUAGUUUUUGCUCUAGUGCUUCAUUUAUAUCUUAUAGAGCACCGUGGUGGUUUGAUUUUAUAGAAAUUAUUGAUCUCUCAUGCUUCACUUAUAUUAUUUUGAGAGUCUUAAACAGCAUGGUAAUUUGCUUUAAUUGUGAAAUUAAUCUGAAUGUGAUAGGCAUCCAAGAUGAGCGUAAUAAAAACUUCAAUAUUGAGUUCAUUGAAUAUCAUGAGAAGUUUGAUACUUGAUAAGUGUUUUGGUAUAUAAAGGUGGUAAUAUUGGAGUGUGCUAGUUGAGUAAUUGUGAAAUUGAGAAAUACUUGUGUUAAGGUUGGCAAGUCCCGUAGCAUGCACGUAUGGUAAAAGUUGUGUGACAAUUUUGACACAUAAGGUGUUCUUUUAUUGCUUUCCUUAUGAGUGGCGGUCAGGGACGAGCAAUGGUCUUUUCCUACCAAUCUAUCCCUCUAGGGGCAUGCGUAGUAGUACUUUGCUUCGAGGGCUAAUAAACAUUUGCAAUAAGUAUAUGAGUUCUUUAUGACUAAUGUGAGUCCAUGGAUUAUAUGCACUCUCAACCUUCCACAAUUUUCAAGCCUCAACGGUACCGUGCAUUGCCCUUUCUCGCCUUGAGAGUUGGUGCAAACUUCGCCGGUGCAUCCAAACCCCGUGAUAUGAUACGCUCUAUCACACAUAAACCUCCUUAUAUCUUCCUCAAAACAGCCACCAUACCUACCUAUCAUGGCAUUUCCAUAGCCAUGCCGAGAUAUAUUGCCAUGCAACUUACCACCGUUCCGUUUAUUAUGACAUGCUCCAUCAUUGUCAUAUUGCUUUGCAUGAUCAUGUAGUUGACAUGGUAUUUGUGGCAAAGCCACCUUUCAUAAUUUUUUAUACAUGUCACCCUUGAUUCAUUGCAUAUCCCGGUACACCGCCGAAGGCAUUCACAUAGAGUCAUAUUUUGUUCUAAGUAUUGAGUUGUAAUUCUUGAGUUGUAAGUAAUAAAAGUGUGAUGAUCAUCAUUAUUAGAGCAUUAUCCCAUGUGAGGAAAGGAUGAUGGAGACUAUGAUUCCCCCACAAGUCGGGAUGAGAUUGCGGACUAAAAAAAGAGGCCAAAGAAAAAGAGAAGGCCCAACAAAAAAAGAGAAAAAAAAAAGAAAAAAAA
Molecule: long non-coding RNA, 88125 nt
Filed under: Triticum aestivum (bread wheat)
Lineage: Eukaryota; Viridiplantae; Streptophyta; Magnoliopsida; Poales; Poaceae
Description: long non-coding RNA (TAES_LNC023990)
Source: RNAcentral